This 61323-nucleotide long non-coding RNA is filed under the name Solanum tuberosum (potato). Its description in RNAcentral is "long non-coding RNA (STUB_LNC004034)". Lineage: Eukaryota; Viridiplantae; Streptophyta; Magnoliopsida; Solanales; Solanaceae. The record is from RNAcentral.
UUUUUUUUUUUUGGUUUAGAUGAAUAAGGGAUUGCACAUUCGAUUAUAUAGAUAACUUCAAGUUGAGUUCUAAAAUUUGAACUACAAAACUUCUCCAAAUUACUCACAAAAGAUUAACAUCUCUAAUUUGAUAUUGGGUCAUUCGCACAUAACGGAGACAGGAGUUUAAAAACAGUGGGUCAGCUCAGCUAACAAAAUCAUAAUAAAAUACAACAGAAAAAAGAAAGGUCCAAACUUACCCCUAUGAUUUGCAAAAUUGUCUAAAAGUCACCCAGAUACAAGAAGUAUGGACGGAGUCCGAAACCUAAAUAAGCCACAAAAAAAUAAAAGUGAUCAAAAUAAGUCACUAUUCUAGUAAGUAACUAAAAUAGACUUAGUGGAAGAAAAAAUUCCAUUUUAUGCAUUAUUCCAAACGUUUUCCGUUAGUCUCAUAACGUGUAUAUUUUUAAUAUAUAACGGAACUAUUUUUUACACUUUGUAAAGUGGAAGACUAAUGGAAAACGUUUGAAAUAUUGCAUAAAACGAAAUUUUUUCUUCCACUAUGCCUAUUUUAGUUACUUACUAGAAUAAUGACAUAUUUUGAUCACUUUUAUCUUUUUGUGGCUUAUUUAGAUUUCAGACUCGUAUGGACGCGCUGGAACAUAUUCAUGCGGCAAAAAAGUUUGUUCAUUUUUGUCUGUUGCAUACAAGAAUUGACACAAAAAACUAUAGAAGGUUUGGACAUGGGGAAACGGAAAACACGUAGCCAGACCUUCAUCAGGCUUCAUGCGAAGAACACGAGAACUCCAUGCCACUUGAUAUUGUCAUCAGUUGCAUGUCUAGAAGCUGAAUUAGAAGCAAAUGCCAAAAAUUUCUAUCACGUAAUACAGGUUUCUACUUUGUUCCUUUUCUGAAAUAGGUCAAGAGAAGAGAAUUGGAAGCAUGACAACUUUAACGAGUGCCGAAGAGUUACUCCUGGGAAUUUCCAUAUCGGCAUUUAAUUUCUUCCCCUUCUAUAAGCCUCUCUACUGCAUCUGAAGGAAGGCCAACCAAUUCCAGCGUCUUCUCCCAGACUUUGUAAGAAGUUUCAAUAUUAUGGGCUUCUUCAGAAGCAUUUGUGGGACGACAAUCGUGGGAAAUGUAUGCACACACUGGCCAGUCAUCUGCUUUCAGCAUUUCACAGUACUCUGAAAUUUGAGGAUCUGUAGCUGCAAACAAGGUACUUCGAGAGCCUGCAGCAACCAACUAAUUUGAGUAAUAUGCAUGGAGAUUAUUAGAUAAAUAAUUAGACUGCACAUGCUGAAUAACCAAGCAACUAAAUAAAACAAGGGGCCACUAGAAGUCUAGAACUUUCCCUGGGACCAGCAUCUAAGGGAUGCACCAAACAAGAAUGCACGCAUAGCUCAGUUUUAAUCUCUUCUCCCAUUUGGUCUUUCUGAUGAGAUGCACUCCUGCCUUCUCCCUUUUUAUACAACUUGUUUGUUUAACUAAAAUUAACUUGCAUGGUCCUUCAGGUUUCUUUUAUAUGCUCUUUCACUCAUAUUCCUUUUGGUCAAAUUAUUCUUAGUUGAGUUGUGUAGUUUUCUUACCUUAUCUAAAAGUAUAUCAGUUCACAAUUGCAGAAAAUUAUCAAAUGAUAUUCUUACUUUCUGGAGUAUAGCAUACCUUCUUCAGCAUUGAAUAUAAAAUAGGGUAUUAGACGAUAGCCAACUUGCAAAAACUGAGGAAGAUCCCUCGCCUGCAAUUUUAUAUGCAAACUUGUUAAAAAGUAUCAUAUAAAGGAAUGAAAAGAACAGAAACUGAAAAGAAGAAAGUCAUAUCCAAGAAAUUUAGAACUCUAGCUCAAAUAGGGUUUUCUCAAAAAAAUUCUUAGGGGCAAAGGUAGACCAAAGAAGUAUGAAGGUGAAGUGAUUAGGCAAGAUAUGGUAAAUCUUCAACACACUGAGAACAUGACCCUUGCUUGAUAGGAGGGUGUAGAGGUUGAGAAUUAAGGUAGAGGGUUAGUAUGUAGCCGAGCAUAUUUCUUUUCCUUUCUCUUUGUAUUAGUAUUAUUCUUGUUUUUCAUUAUGUUUCAAUUUCUAUUUCUACAUAUUGUACCUUUAGCCUCGAUUAUCUUAUUAUCUUGUUGUAAUUUCUACUUGUUGCUUCUGCCUUUAUCGUCCUUUGAGCCAAGGGUCUAUCAGAUUGUCUCUCUGUGUAAGGUCUGCGUACAUUGGAUUACAUUGGGUUUGUUGUUACUCUUUAGGGAUUGGAAGCUUAUAACUCCCUCUGUCCCAAUUUAUGUGGUGUUUUUCGCUUUCUAAGAUCUAAUUAGACUAAUCAUUGAAACUAAAUUAGAUUAGAUCAACUCAAUAUUUUAAAAUUAAAAUUAAAAGUUACACAUUCAAAAACUAUACGAGAAGUACUACAAGUUGCAAUUCUUCUCAUGUCAAUAUGAUGAAAAUGUAUCUCAAGAUGUUGGUCAAAAUUUACUUGGUUUGAAUCUCAAAAAGCGUAAAGUGCUACAUAAAUUGGGAUAGAGGUCGCACCAAGCUUGCCUAGUGUGGGUUACCUCUCCUAUGUGGUUUGUGAGCUAUUGCAUAGGAGCGAAGGUUUUACCCUAUGCGCACCCAAAGGGUAGCGGCAGCGGGUUUCCCUUGUCAUCAAAAAAAAAAUUGGGAUAGAGGAAGCAGCAGAAUAAAUAAAGAUGGAGGCACAGGGGUACCACAUGAAGCAACGACAUCAUCUUAAUUGGCCUAUUUUGGCAUUUAAGUUGAGCAUGUUAAGGCUGAUUAGUGAAAGGCCAAGUCUAGUUGGGAUCAGAACCUCUUCUAGAGAAUCUUUUAAAAUGUAACCAUGUGAGGCUCUUCAAGUCAAACAGAUAUAUGUGCAUUAAAUAAUGGAAGCUGGAAGUUUUUCACAUGGAAUCGUUACAUGUGUAUCCAACCCCACCGUAUGCAAGUAUCCGAGUUGACUACGACUACCUUUUUAAUAAUCUCUAGUGUAUAUCAAAGGAUUUACACAAUUAAUUUGAAAAGAGGAUCUGUACAGAGUACUGCACCCAUAUCACUCACGUUUGACAUGGGUACAUCAAGACAAGGUAUGGCAAUAACAUUAAAGAUGGUAACUAGAGAAACAAAUAGCGAAGUUAUCAAGAACUUACAACAUUGGUUAGAACAAUUCCAGGAGUAUUACAUACUACACUUAUGCCAGAUUCAGCAGGUAGUCUCUUAUGAAGGAUGCUACUGAACAUAAUCUGCACUUCCGAACCACAGUGGAUUAGUUACUGGAGAGCAAAAUCAACAAAGCCGGAUUUUAUUAGAACUCAAAUGGAAACACAUACUAAGAAGAAGGAAUAAGAGCUUAGCAUCUUAAGUUCAAUUUUAACUAUCAUAAAUCCUAGAUGAUUUUAUGCUUGAAAUGAUUACUAAUAAGAAGCUAUAUACAAUGUGUUCUAUACUUGAUCUUUUGCUUCAAUGUACCCUGCCUGGUUGUUUACUGCUGAUGCAAGGCUUCCCAAUUUAUUAUUACAUCGAUGAUUAGAAGUGCACAAAAAAUUAACAAAAAAAGAGUACUUCCUAGAUGAACUUGCACAUUUGUAUUAGCGCAACUUUUGACAAGCAGAUGAACAUCUCCCUACAGAAAUCAAUUUUUGGAUCAACCUGUGGAAUUAAGAGAUUACAGUAAUAGCUCUUAAUGGACAUGCAGCAAAGUAUUGAAGAUGUGCCUUUGGAUGUUUGCAUCCCAAAUUACCAAAAAAUAAUGUCUUCUAGUUUCUGAUAACUCUUUGAUGGGUCCCAUCCAACAUAUUCAAAUUGGUUUUUUAUCACUACUCAAGAUGAUCUUGACCAGACUCCAGAGCGAACCCACUUUUAAGCACUUUAUGCCUAAUAGAUGUAAUAACUAUUGGAGUGAUGAUGGGCAAUUAAUCUCCACUAGUAUUUCCAUCAGCAUAAAUUGAGAGGAAAUAGGAGAGCUUCUGAAGGGUAAGAGCAACUAUUGGCUUUAGCGAAGCGGAAACAAAAGAAUUGUUCAAUAGGGAAGAGGCAUACCAUAUGGAAAAACUCAGGUACCUAAGCUUUAUUUACUAGGCAGAAUGCAACCUUCCUAAAUCGUGAAAAGAAAAAAUGAAAUAUAAUUAGGCAGCCACUUGUGUUAAGGUGUGCUGUGGUUGAACAGGUUGUAGCAUCUCAAUUAAUGCUAACACGACAAGCAAAAGACCAUUAGCAAGUAAUAGCUGAUAACCUUUUAGAAAAUACCUGAGCAAGCUUGCUGCCUCCAUAUCCCACUACACUGGUGUACUUUCUCUUUCCGGAUACAACAUUCAUAUCUUCUGGAUCGACAAACCCAACAUAGUGCAUCUACACAGAUGAAAUAAACUAUAUUCCUGUCAGUAGCCGUAACAUAAGCCAUAAACUUAAGUGGAGGCAAUCACUUAAAUUACAAGAUAAAUUUAUUUCAAAGCAACUACAUCCACCCCUCCUCAAACUUAGAGACUUGGUUUCGUUGGAGAAUAGCCUCCAUAACUACUGCUCCGUUCUUUUAUUUCACUUUCAACCCCAAAUUUGGCAUAACUAUAUAGGAUUUAUUAGCUACUGCGUUUUGCUUCAUCUUUUUUCAUAUCCAAUAUAAUGAUUUAGGUCAUAAAACCAAUAAGCAAGUAACCUAGACCAUAAAAUGAACCGACAUGUUCAAGUAAAAGCAAGACUAAGACAAAGCCUGACCAAAGAGUUACCAACAAUCAAUAUUUUAAAUUCGAACUAAGAGAAUAAAGAAAGGCAAGUUCCAACAAGCAUACUAAGCAAAGAGAAUCAAGAAUGAAAAUAUGGAUACAUCAUCUUUCAGGCAUAGCAUUAUAGUCAAAUUGAAUGAGUAAAUCAAACAAUAAUUAUCACCCCAAAUAAAUUGUCCGAAAGGAAAAGUUCAAGCUCACAAACUUUUAAGGGCUUUCGACAGUUUUUAAAACUUGAAGUCAAAAUUACUCUUUAUCCACCACCACGUUCCAUUAUGCGGCAAAGUUCAGCAAGUCCUAAUAGUAUGUAUCUUUUUUUUCCUUAUAUAUUAUUAACACAUACACCAUAAAUAUUCAAGAGCAAAGAUCUAGGACAGACGACUUCAAUAUCCCAACCGGUAAAAUAUCUUUUUUCUGCUCAGACCGUUCAUGAGGAAGGCAAAGGCUUCCAAAACAAAAAGGCUGAAAUAAUGAAGUCUAUGCUAAACCACCUCCAUAUUGCUGUAUAUCAUUACUUUGGAAAAGCCUGUUGUUUAAGCUAUAUCAAAUUAAUGCAUACUAGAUAAAAUGUUUUCACCAAUGCUGAAACUUCAGUUUGCAACUCAUUUUAAAGUAUCCAUAUCAUGGAAAAUCAAGAUCAUUCAAAGCAGUAACUGAGUGCCGAAAGUGAGGAGACAAACAAUUGAGUGUAUAACAUAUCCAUCUAUAGCGGGGGAAUAUUGCUAAGACUUACAGUAGAGUUUACGUUAAUAAUUCGGCUUGGGGAACCUCUAAUAAGUGAUGGUAAAAGCAAUAUGGAAAGCAUAGCCGGAGCUAGAUGAUUCACUUGCAUGUGUUCCUCAUACCCAUCUUUUGAAAACUUCUGUGGUUCUGUAGAAAACAACACAAUUCAUUAGCCUAAGUUAGAAGGGCAGAAGCAAAGCCUCACAAGUCUCCAGAUAAAAGAAUGUGCACUCACUCAGCUAUCAAUCAUUCAGUUUCCAUCUAAAGGAGAAAACAGGUAAAAAGCUGUACCAAUAUUUCUAUUGCAGACACAAUGUAUUGUCCCUGUUAAAACUGCUAAAUGCACCCCCACUAGCCAAGCAUUAGUGCAUUAGCAAAGGAAAACCCUAAUGCAAGCCAAAGCCAAAGCAUGAAGUCAGGCUAAGGCAAUUAGAUUAAUACAGGUGACCAACAUACGAUUUUCUGGUUACCUAUUAUCAUGAUUGAGAGUUCUGGUACACACGUGAAUGUGAACAUGAUAAACAUCUAAAAUUGUAGUUCUUAAAAGAAAAAAUUUCUAGGAACAUAUAAUUGCCAAUCUGAAGGUGCAUAUUGAAAUAUUCAAUCAUAAACCUAAAGUUGCUACAAAUCUACAAUAACCAAUUCCAACAAUACACAACACUAAGCUGUGUUUUGACCAAGACAUGUAGACAAACCGUUGCAACUCGUCCUAGGAUAGUAGAACAUUUUACAUUAAUUUACACUAUAAAUAAUGCUUGAACUGAACUCAUAAGAUGUAAGCAUGACAAGGUGAUUAUCCAGUAAAAGACCCAGAUGCUGCUCUACAGGCUCUUCUACUUCAGAAUCUGACAUGAGACAUCCUUCAUUUUAUCCAUAUCAAGCAAGUAACUAAUUGAAUAGAAUUUCUCCUUCUGAAUCUUUCUAUAACAUUCCAUCCAAAGACUAGAGAGCCGAAAAGAGAUACCUUGAUGAUGUUCUUUCUUUUGAUCAAGGUAUAAAAUUUUAUAAACAAAGGGCAUUAAACACCCCCUAAUAGAAGAAGUAUACCAAAAAGUAGAAAUCUUACAAACUUUGCUGAAGUUCUUAUUUGACAUUAAUCAUAAAUCAUAUUUCAUGUUUACCAGGUAGCCCUAGUGAAUUCCAUAACUUCCGACCUGUCUGAAGCUGGAAAUGGACCAUUUAAGAUUCAUUAUUAUCUCAAGUCUCAACUAUUGAAAAAUUCUUAAGACUAACCAUGUAGAAUAAGAAGGGCUUGGGACUUCCAUGUUGGAGGUCUCAAGUUCGAAACCCCUUGCCAGCGAAAGCAAGGGGUUUGCCUUCUAGGUCGAACUCGUCGCACCAGGCUUGCCUAGUGCGGGUUACCUCUCCUAUGUGGUUUACAAGCUAUUGCAUAGGAGCGGGGUUUUACCCUGUGCGCACCCAAAGGGUAGCGGCUGCGGGUUUCCCUUGUCAUAAAAAAAAAAGAAUAAGAAAAUCACUGAUGUGUUUGGUGUUGCAUGAAUCUGACAUAUACACUAACUCUUUUUUUAAUGAUUUGACAUAUACACAAACUUAACACAUACAAAGAUUUAAGGCCUUGAUUUUCAGAGGCUUAGUUACAUGGAAACAGGUAUUUCUAUAAAGCUCCACAUAUACCAUAAACUUCAAAACUAAGGAAGCAAACAGAAAACUUGACCACAUGAUGAAAAUGCUGAAACAUGCAAACACGCUAUGACAUUUGACAGAUUAGAAUUGGAUAUCAAGUUAGUAAGGGCAAGCUUUUACUUUUUAUCUUUAAGUAAGAAAGGCUUCAUGAUGUAGCUGAAACCUAAUAGUUGUCUCAAGGUGUCACAGCUCAAGUAUCACACAAGAAGAGUGCACAUUUUGGUUACUGCCAGUUAAUAAGAAGAAACUAAUACCGCACUAACCUCCAAUUGAAAAUAUGCCGGCAUUAUUGAUGAGAACAUGUACUGGUGCCAUGCGGGCAUUCCAUGCUUCUGCGAAUCGUGCAACAGAAUCCAAAGAGAGAAGAUCAAGCUCCAUGACCUUGCAACAAAUGUGAAUUAUAUUCAAUUAGGACAAUAUUUUCAUGACAUUGAACAAGAAUCAUUAACACCAACUUAAAAAUUCUUGAAACUUAAACAUUUGUAAUAAACUAGCAUACAGCUGUACUACUUCCUAGCCAUAUCAUACUUGAUACUACUAUGAGAUGAAAGAUAAUAUACCUCAAUGUUGAGUGGAAGGCCCUUGCCAGACCAUUCUUCCUGCCAUUGCCGUACUAACUCCUGUGCACGAUUGGUGCUUCUGACAGCCAUAACAACAUGUGCUCCUGCUUCUGCCAACUGCCUGUCUAAUGCAAAAGCAGAAUUUUUGUACAUUAGAGAAAAUGGACUAGAAAACUUCUUCCAAAUCCUUGUAACUGAAAGAUGAGUAAGAAGAGAUUAACAGAUUCAACAGAAUAAUGAAGAUAACAAUAUAAAGAAAGGGCACAUAGAAAAUCAUAUGGUGUAACAUUAUUUAUCACGGAAGAAUAAUGCAUCAGACCCUGAUAUGUGGAUAUCCUUAGGAUAAUCAUGUUAGGUAACACAUACUGUGGGAUCAAGGAUGUAGAUUGGAUGAGAAAUUACUCGCAGCCAGAGAUGAAACAAAGAUCUACUCCUCUUUUGCUUUGAGUUAUCAAAUAUGAAACAAAAGACUAUUCGCAGAAGAGAUAGAAAAUUGAAUGAGUCUUAGUAAAGCUAGACCACAAUUAGAUGGAUCAACUUUCAGUACUUUUCAGCUCAAAGGCUAUCAGCCACCAAAUAAGGAUUAGAGAAAGCAAAAAAGGAAACACUGAUAAGGGAAGAAGAUAAAUUCUGAUUCAAUUUUCUUUGUUUCAGGAGCACAAAAGUUAUUCAUAUCUCCUCCUUUUACCUUAAAUAGGUAUUAGAAUAUGCUUGGAUUCCAUUCUUUCAUUAGCAGUUGGCAAGUUCAAAGUUAUUCUAUUUAUUUGUUAGUUAUAGAUAAUUGGCUAAAUGCAUUUCACAGCUUUCUCACAGCAAUAGUAAUAAAAGGUUGGACUGUUUACAUGUUCCAGAUUGUUUUCCAACGGGAAUCAAGGCAAGAAUAAUUGUUUCAUCAGGCACAUAAAUAGAGCAAGUUAUUUCAUCCAAAAGUUUAAAUGUGAUAUCCCAAAAGGGCAUCUUUCUCAAUAAGGAAAUAUCCAAACUUACAGAAAAUAGCAUGUUACUGACGAAACAUUAAAUAACAAAUCAUUAUCUCUUUCAUAGAGCAAUCUCAUAAGCCAUCUUGCACUCUUGAAUGGCCCUAGAGUCGGGAUUCUGUUUCACAUUUUUCAUCCUCUUGAACUACUAAAGGCACCAGAACACUUCCCACAUGAUUUGAUAUGUAGCUGAUAUCAAGUGUGUGGUGCCAUUUACCGUGAGAUGUCAAGCUUCAAAUAAAAAGGGCAUUACAGGAGAUACAAAUACUUGACAAAUGUGAAGACAUUGUUUCCCAAGCUCUACACCAUUUAAUGGUACUUUUCGGUGAGUUACAGUCAGUUAAAGAAAUUAAAAUUGAAUCAAAUUCAAUAUGAUAUCUCUUAGAGACAACCAAAUCAGAGGAGGACAAAGAUUGCUAGCAUUAUUGGGAAUUAGAAGGAACACUAAACGCUCGGGUCGAUACAUAUGACGAGAAUAUUCUUGGCAUUCCAAGCAAACAACAACCGUAUCCAUUCCUGUGACCAGAUGGUGGAGUGCCUAAAGCAACCUACUAACUCCGAAUAUGACCUCAAUGCCAAGAUUUUAAAGACACCAAAUGACCCUCCCUUUUGAAAUCUGUUCCCCUUCUGUGGUAAUCCAAAAUGGCUAAUUAAAGUCCACCAGGAAAGGUAUUAAACUACAGAGUUUCUUAAACUCGAAAGCAAACCUAGAAUAAAAAUAAAUAACCAGUUCUAUUCCCCUGUACAUGCACAACUGCAGCUGAUUGAAAGUCAGUUUAGAAAGUUUCAUCUAGGACAACCAUUGCAAACAAGUAUUACGAGUUAGUAAUGUAUCCCAGUAUAAAGUUCUGUCUGCAAGGUGAACAACUGCAAGUUUCAUACUAAAGUGCACAGUGCAGCUUCAAAUAGCCAGUAACUUCCUGAGCAACAUAUCCUAUUAAAUUGAGACUUCAAUGAGAAAAGGGAAUAAACACCACAAAAUUCAUUUCUCGGUCUUCUUUUGUUGACAAACCACAAAACAAAGAAUAAAAAAAGGAAACAAAAAUCUAGAUGGCACUUCAAAACAAGGCAUUAUCACAAUUCAAAUUAGUUUAAGCUCUUAUAACGGCGGACUCUAAAAGCUAUUUCUCCACUAGUUCACUAUAAUCAAUAAGCAAAUCCAUCUUCCUUCAGAAAUUACACAAAUUAGCAGCAGAAUCUCAAAUUUUCUUCAAGCAAAGAGUAAUAAGCAUAAAGUAAAGCAUACCGAGCGAUUUCACGGCCGAUACCGCUAGUAGAACCAGUAACGAUGCAAGUAAGGUCGUUAAUAGGAGGAAGAGGCAUAGGAUUCUGCAAAUGACUGGCUAAUAUCCUUUGAAAAAUCAUCUCGUAAACCAAAUAGAACCAUCCUCGUAACCAUUCCAUCCAACCUAAUGCUUUUUUCUUCGCCGUCUUCAAUGGCUGCUUAGCUUCACUAGAAGUUGUAUUCUUCUUCUUCUCCGCCUCCUCGUUCGCCAUCUCCUUUCUCGUUGAUUCUAAGCUAAACAGAUUCUCUCCCUCGCACCUCACUCACUUUGCUCCGCAACUGUCGUUAGUGAUGUUUACCUUUCCUUUUUCCAUUAGUAUUAUAUAUAUACGGAGUUUUUGUCAUUUUCUUUCGCUCUCACGGGACUCGUAUAAAGAGAGAUGGACCGUAUAGAUCCGUUCCAACCACUCUUUAUUUUUGUGGCUGACCUCAUAUGUGUGGUGAGAUUUGAAAUUGUUUAGCACACCACCUCUUUAUUUUUAAAAGAAUAAAUAAGAUCCUCAUUCUGAUAUAAACGAUCUUUUUGAGCGUGAUUUGAUAAUAAAUUAAGUAGAAGAAAUUUUUUAAUUUUGUGGUCUUAAAUUAAAAAUAUAUAUUAAAUGUAUUAAAAUAUUCUUUAAUUUUAUGAGUGAAAAGUUAUAAUUAAAGAGUUGAUAAGAAGAGAAUGAUAUAUUUUUUAAAUGAACUAAAAUAACAAAUAGAACAAACAAAUUAUAGCAAAAGGAGUAAUGAUAACAAUAAAAAUGGCGCUGACCCACAUAUAUGGAUCGAUCAUGGUGCUGUAUCAUAUGACAAUGAAAUUAUGGACAGACUAUGGAGAAAUUGGACAUAAAGUCAAGAUAGUCGUUUGCCAAGGAUUUAUCCCUCAUCUCCCACACCUAACACUAUUAUUUCCACAUAUUUGGUGCCCCCAUGGAUUUACUCUCAUCUCCACGUUUUGGGCACGUCACCAUCUCACUAGAGUGUGAUUUCGGCUUCUUAGGAGCUAAAGGUUGUUUGAUAGUUGAUUUAGAAGUGAUUUAUACAUGUAUUAAAUUCUGCAUAAAUAAUAACAUGUUUUAUAGUUGCUUAGAAGUUUAGCUUUUUCAUAAAUAAAACUAAUAAAAUAAAUAACUGAUCCCUACCUAAUAUAAUACACAAAUUCUCUGCCUUCCAAACACCUAAAUUGUCUUACGUUUCGACAAAAAGUUGGCACAGGCAGGGGGUUAAAGGGGGGUGCGUCUUCCCCAGAUCUGCCAAAAGCAAUCAAUUGUCACAUGCAAGAAAUGACAUAACAUCAGUUGCACAACUAGUAUAGUUUGAGAGACGAGAGUGGGUGGCGCAACAGUCAUGGUAGGUAGCUGACAAGCAUGGUUCAAAUGAUAAUAAUGUGGAGUUAUACUCGACCAACAAAAACUUGGAAAAAUAUACACUUCCUUUGGCGCUAGUAGUCAAGCCAUCAACUAACACAGGAAUGGAGAGGAGCCCGGAUCUUAUGUCAUGAAUAGACAUUCAUACAACAAUCAAAGCAUUUGGUUCAAUGAAACCAUGUCAAAUAUUUUACCUACAUCAACAUACACACACUAAAUGAAAGUCAGGGCCAUGCAAUUCUGUCAUUCAUGAGGUCACAUGGUUUCAAUUUGCAUCUGGUGAACACGUACAAGAUGCCACCAACUUUCCUACUCCAACAGACAAGAAAUUAUUUCCCCCUACAUAGAAAAAAAACAUGAAAUAAGUAAAACAGCUGUAACGUCCCCCUCCUUAUCACCUCAGGUGGAGGUAAGGGAGAGUUGGAAAGAAAAACGAUCAUAACAAGUGAACAGAUAGAUAUAAUCGCUAUAUAUGUUUAUAAACUGUGAUUUUAGGUGCAUCAGAAAAAUAGAAUAACAAUGACAUACGAGUUCAUCAUCAGAGUAAUAUUAUCGCCUUUCAGAAGAAUCCGCCCUGCAUAAAACCACAGAGGAGAUGAAAGUUAGUUCCUCUGGUAAUUAUGGAAGAGGGUAAGGCUAGAGUCAAGGCAAUGGUCACCCACCCAACUGCUUGCUGGUUUUCUUCUUCACAUUAACUUCCUCAGCAUCAUCCAGAACUAAAUUCAUGUACUCAUCAAAACCCUAAACAACACAAACAAAUUUACCUAUUAGUCAACAAGUACCAGACAAAUCACUGUUAAACUGCGUAGAGCAGUAGCAUGGAAGGAUAUAGAUAUAGGAUGCAAAUGAGUUAGGUACCUAGCUUGAUGACUUUUCUAGCCAAAAGGAUGCAGGUGAUGCAAGAGGCAAAACCAACAUUCAAUUCUUUUGAUUUAUCCCAAAGGAAAAAGAUGCAAAAACGCAGUAAUUCAAGUGCAUCCAUUUGAACUCAUUUGCUCAUUUAUGAGUGUCAAUCAUUUGCAAACAACCUUUGUCAAAAACUACUUCACACAAUGACCAGAAACAGAAAAAGAGCUGCUUCUUAAGAAUUGACCAAUACAGGUACAUGACACCAAAAUAUGCUUACUAGUUAAUUCAAAAAACUUUUUUGAGCAUAUAAUGCGCAACAACUGAUGAUCCAGCUAUUUCCCGGAGUCUAAACAUAUCUAAUCCCUGGUUGAGAAGCAGAAAACAAUUUAUAAUCCAGAUUAUUCUUUCGCAUCCAGAACCAGCUUAAGAAAUCCAGUAUAGAUUUUUUCUUCGUAAGGUAAAGAGAAAUCCCAACUAUGGAUUAUUCAAAAAGAACAAAUAUCAAGGUCUAAGAAUUCAAACCGAAAACCUUUCAAGUUGGUAUAUUUUCACAUUCACAUCCAAGGUAAGCUUUUGGUUUUUUUUUUUUAAUAAGAGACUGUAAAAUCUUCCAAACAAAGACUAUUAUAGUACAAACCUUUAUAUGUUAGGGUAUGUACAUCGGAAGAUCUACAGAGCCAGAAUAGAUUUGGUGACUAAACUAUCCCUAGUGAUCACAGGAAACUUACAGGGGCCCGGGGUUACAGAACAAAACACAGCACUAAAUAUUACAAUUACAAGGAUGAAACAUAUAUACAUGCUUCAAUUAUCAGAAAAAAAAUUCAAAACUUAAAAAGCAAGCAAAGGAGCAAAAUUUACAGCACAACAACAUUUACACAGCUUGCAGAAAAUACUCCUCCAUUCAAUUUUAUGUGAUACGCCCUCCUUAUUAGUCUGCUCCAAUAAGAAUGGCACCUUCCUAAAUUUGGAAACAAUUUAACUAUUCUAUUUACCCCUUAAUUAAGGCAUGUUGUUAUAGCCAUACAUAUGCCACGGCAGGUUUAAGACCACAAGUUCCAAAAGUCUUACUUUCUUGAACUCUUAAAUUGAGUCAAACACAACAUAAAUUAAAACAUAGAAAUUUUUAAAAUGACCCAACCCAUCACAAAUCUGCACAAACUAACAAAACGUCAAAGUGAUUGACUUCAUAUUCACUAGUCAAAUCCUAGAGGCCUUAUGAUACAAAUCUGCUCACUAUACAAGCUCUGUAAAACCAGGCAACAAAUAAUAAUGAAGAUAAGUCAGCAACUAUUACAGUAAAGUUUGAGUGACUAAUUCUUUUAGAAUGGUAAGGUUGUAUAAAUGAAGCCCCAAGAUUGUGCGAAAAAUUACAUUAAAUUCAGUUCCUUAACAAUUACUGUAGGGAAGUGAGAAAAUCUAACAUCCUGUCAACUGUAUUAACAUAUUCUAGUUUUACACUUUACACCAAAAACCCAAAAGGGAAAUACAUCUGAACUUCAAAAGUUUGAAUGUUCCAUAUUUGCUCUCAAAACUUGAAUUACUAAUUCAAACUACUCGGACUUAAGUCCAUCCCAAAAUCAAGCUACAACUAUCAGUGCCAUAAGAAACUAGAGUUAUGUGACAGAAAAAAUAAAAAAAAAGUUAGGCCUUGCUUUGCUCUAACAGGAACAGCAGAACUAUCCAGGCAUACAUCUUGUGUAGAAGGACCCAAAUGACAGAUUGUGAGCCCAACAUGCACUGGCAAUACAUAUACAUAAUCAUGAGCUUACUACAGCACACACGACAUUUCCAUGACAGUUUCUUUUUUUUCAUCCAGUAUAUUCAGUAUGACUUUCUAGGCAUACUUCACGGAUAAAAGGAACUAAUAUGGGUUUAACAAAUAUGGACUACCAAAAUUUCUAUCAUGAAUUUACUAAAAGCACGCACCAGAUUUUUUAUUGGCAACUGAUAAUUACUGCAAGAUGGUUUGGGCUCAGAGUUGAAUCCAUCGAUACAAAUGAAGGUAAUAUGAUUUUUGAAUACAAAUUUGGUGAAAGAAUGUAUUUAACUUGGAAAAUAUCUAAACUUCCAUAAGCUGGAUGCUUAGAAUGCCCCAACCAUGGUAUUGACAUGGAAAUUGUUUUUUUCUUUGUUUCUCUUUAUUUUUCUCUUUGUACUGCCUUCCAGUUUGUUGGAAAAUUUAAUCCACAUUUAUAACCAAAUCUUCACUUUUUUUUAUUGAGAACUCCAUUACAAAAACUAAGUCCUUCCACAAUCUACUAAAUUGAACAUAGCACAUAAUAACUUUGUAUAGACUCUUGAAAGCUUUACUUAAGAUCAAACCUAUCCUACAUCUAAAGAAGGUAUUUGAUUACAGAUAGUUAACCGGUGUUUUAAACUAGUCAUCAGAUAUUACUAUUUACUAGUCCAAAGUUUAGCAGAAAAUGCAAACAUGGAAUCAGUAAAGAAAUUAGAAGUUCAAGAUAGAAGAAAGUGAGGACUAAAAAGCUUUCACCACUAGCUUAUUAAGGAAAUACAUGUCCCUAUUUAUAUGGUAAACCACACAAGACAAAGAGUCAACACUGAUGUUUCCCUCUUUGAAUCCUAGUGACGCAAUACCCAAACCUCAAGUUGGAAAUGAAUGGUUCUACACCUCCUUAUAAAUACAAGUCAUGCCAAUUGCCAGACACGAACUUUAUGUUACAAAUUUCUGGCACCUAUUACACAUUAAGCUAGAACCUACAUAAUUCCAAACACCCAAAAGAAAGUAUGCAUUCUAAUAGCUAGAACUGUUGGUACAUAGUUUACAUAAGGAUCUCUGAAGUAACACAUAUCUUCAGGAACUUUAUAAAUCUGUAUAAUUUAAUUUUUCUGAUAAGUAGCAUAAAUGAUUAGACCUACAAAUUAAUGGCUAUUCUCAUUCUUAGUGGUUGAUGGAUUACUCUCCACUCCACCAGGUCAAGAGUUCAAUGGUGGUAUGCUGGAAUACAUGAUCAGAUGAUUAGAACUAGAAGAGGCACAUGAUUUGUCUGUGCUAUUACUCAAAAGAUAACUUAGGAAACUCCCUUUAUUAAGGGAAACAGUGGCGAUUUAGAGUGUGAAAGUGCAGGGAGAUGAUUAAAUGAGUAGUUAAUGGAAAGACCUAACAACCCUUGGGGAAUUAUCUGGGAAAACACAUAAUGCAACAUUCGCAAUGCAACUACUUUGCUGGGGUAAAGAAACUUACAAUGAUACGUCCUUCAAUCCUCAGAUCCUUCUGUUCAAAAAGCCAUAUUUGAAUCCGAGCUUUCUGUAUAUAAUAAUUUGCACGUCAAUUUUAAGAACAUUGAGAUCCUAAUAGCAAAAAAAAAAAGAGGAAUAACUUACGCUCUGAAGAAACCUGAAAAUCAGGUUCUGCAACAAACAAAAGAAAACACGUUAUCCAAAAUGUUAGUGCCGAGUGAAAAUGAAAAAGUUAAACAGUGAAGAUGAGGAAGAGUGAACGAACUUACAAUGGGCUGGGUCAUAAUCCUUUGAACUUUGGUGCUAGCCAUGGCUGAAAUUCCUGUUUCUCCGAUCAACUAAGCUCCUUUUUCAGUCUCAAGGAAAGCAGCUAAACCCUAGCAAAUACCCUAAGCCGUGAAUCGAAAUGGCGCCUAAUGCCGUAGCAUAUACAAAUAUGAAUUCGGGUUAGGGCUCGCGGAAAACGUCUCUCUUUUGCAUCUGGGCUUUUAUUUUGUUUUCAAUGGACAGCACGGGUAAUGGGCCUGCCGCCUGCCCCAUCCACUUGUAUUUCACGAUAACACAAGAAUCAUCAUUUGUAAAAUUACCUUUUUAUAAUAAUCUAAUUAGUCAAAUUUCUAUAUAUUUUAAUCAAUUUCAUUCUAUAUGAAAGAGAGUUUGUCUUGAACGAUUAAGGGUAUAUUUUGUAAUUUCCUUAUUUAGAUUGUCAUUUAAAGUCCUUUUUAAAUUAUCUAGCUUUGAGUUUCCAUGUGUUUCAACACCCACUGAAAAGGAUCCAUGUGGUGGAUCUUAUCAGAGAUUUUAUGUUUCAACGAGAAAUCUAAAAUGUCAAAUUCUUAUGAGCUUGGGCAAGAAAUUACAAUAUAAAGUUGAUAAAUUUUUUUGUUCUGUCAUUUUCUCACAUAUUUUGCUUACCCCUCCUAAAGUACUCAAUCAAUUCUAUCAUAUAUUAUUUUAAUUAUCAUAUAUGUCUAAUGUCAUAUAGGUCUGAAAAGAUUGAGUUAAACUCUUGAAAGUAAGCUAUCAUAUAUUCUUUACUAUCAUAUUACGGAAUAAGCUCAUAGAUUUCGUUACCUUGGGCCCUGUUUUUUUAAUAUUUAAUUAAUAAAAUAUAAAUAUCUUUUGAAAUUUGAAUUUAAAUUGUUGUUUUAUACUAACAUUUGAUAUAUCAACAAGUCAAUAUAUAAUAGGUUUUAUUUAAAUGCCCACUAAACUUCCUGAGAGGCUGGUAACCACUAAUUAACCACCUAUAAAUUACAAUUUUUUUAAGAAUAUACAGCUACACAAUGCGAGUUUCUGUUUUAACUUCAAUAGUUAUUUUGUCUUCCCUUCAUGAUUCUAGUUUGGUGCAAUUUUUAUUUUUUUUAGUAACUGAGGUGUUCGAACUCUACAUAUGCUUAGACAAAUGAGAAAAAAAUCACUUAUAAACUCACUUCAUUGAUCAAUAAGACACACGCGACAAUUUGGUGACUUUUUUAGGAAAAAAUGUUAGUACUUACUUGAGCAAUAGAGAAUAUAUAGCAAGGAAAUGAGCUAAACUCAAAGUACUGUUCUAUUGAACUUAAUUAUUUUCAUUCACAGUUUUACACAUACUUACACUAAUUGGACAAUAUAAAGUCACCUGAAAAUGCUGAAAACACUCGUAAAUGUCUUAUAACUGAAGCACUAGUACUACACAGAAGAUGAAAAAGUUUUCUUUCGGUGGCCUUUUUUUUUUAGACGGAACUAGAAUUUUGAGUUUAUACAUACAGAGUAAAUUUUGAACACAGAGAGUCUCACCAAAGCUACUCUGUUCUCCCAAACUCGUAAGCAGAACUGUACCUCUGCUUUGAAUUCUUCUAAUUAGUAAGCAAUUAACGUGCCCGAUUAAGCAUAUUAACAGAUUCUUGCCUCUGCAGCAACCUGUCUUGAUUGAUUUUCUUAAUGAAAUCAUCAAAUUUCUUGUUGGACUCCUCUGUAGUAACAGAAAUAUCUCCUCUCAAGCCCCCAAUUCGAGACAUCGAUAAAGCAUCGUUAAAUGUCAAUGAUUUUUUCAGUUCCUUUUUCUUCGUGAUCGCCUCCCAUGUUGCCUCUAAUGAAUCACCCUCUAAUUGCCCUUCUUCAAUAUUUUCUUGAUAAUUAGUUCUUGUAAUUGUCUCAUGAUCUGAUAUAUGUGGACUAACGAUUUCACGGGCCUCAGUCAAAUGAGAUAUGUCUCGAAAAUUAUGCAAUGUUUGUUGACUACUAUCAAUUUUGGCACUUACCCGAUCCCAACUUGUUUGAGAAUGAGGCAGAGUAGUUUUUGUUUCUGUUGUUUGUGCGCUAUUAGCUUUAACCCUUAGUCCAUCCCUACUUAUUUGAGACCGAGGCAGAGUAGUAGUAGUAGUUGUUUUUGGACUACUAUCAAUUUUGGCACUUACCCGAUCCCAACUUGUUUGAGAAUGAGGCAGAGUAGUUUUUGUUCUGUUGUUUGUGUCGCUAUUAGCUUUAACCCUUAGUCCAUCCCUACUUAUUUGAGACCGAGGCAGAGUAGUAGUAGUAGUUGUUUUUGGACUACUAUCAAUUUUGGCACUUACCCGAUCCCAACUUGUUUGAGAUUGAGGCAGAGUAUUUUUUGCACUAUUAGCUUUGGCCCUUAGUCGAUCUCUACGUGUUUGAGACUGAGGCAGAGUAGUAGUUGUUGUUUGUGGACGGUCAAGUUUGGCCUUUAGUCGCCCCCAACUUAUUUGAGACUGAGGCGUAGUAGUUGUUGUUGGCAUAUCAUCUUGAAUAUCUGGAUGCGAAUUGUAGCGAUUGAAGAAAGACAUAAGGGUGUCCAUUGCAAUUACUGAAUUAGUUCUAUUUGGCAUAUACUCCUCUUUUUCUUGAUGAUGUGCUUGUGGCUGAAUUUGGACCUCAUCAUAAUCAACAUCCUUUUCAUCUAGAAAAAUAUCGAUGAAUUUCUUGAUUGUGUGUUGAAAUUUGGAGAAAAUUAAGAUAAGAAUGACAACAGAGUUGAUAAAAAGGCAAAUAUAAAAUGGAGAUGACAAGAAGCUCUUCAAAUAAUUCAAGAUUUCACUUAAAUUAACAAAGAACAUGUUAAAUAAGUAAUAAGGACUAAUAGUUUUUUUGAGCAUGAAGAAAGUAGAAAUAAGUCCUGUUGAUAAGAGAAGAAGCUCCAUGGUUAAUCCAAACUUUAUCAAGGAUGCCAUGGAGCAAGAAAAAAGUGUUGUUGGUUAAGUCUAAUGGGGUGGGGGGGUUAAGUUGUUUAAAAGAAAUGCACUUAUAUUAAGAGAAUUAAGUGGAAUGAUUAGAGUAGGGAUUUUCUUUACAGGGUAGAUAGGGAAGAGACAGAAAUAUAUUGAGUACAAUGAACACUCUGCUAUAGACCCACAGAAUAUAAUGAUCAAGUAAGGUUGAUAGAGGCCUUUUAAUAAGGUGACAAUGAUUGAAAUUAUUGCCCUACUUUUCUACCCUUUUAACUUAAUUAAUCUUUCUUUCUAAGCUUUCUACUUUUUCUAGUUGUGUUUGUGUGGGACAUAGGAGGGGGUUGAUGCACAAAGAAAGGAAUAAAUUGCCUUGGAGCCUUCUUGAAUGGUGUCUUAUUUACUUCAAGAAUACGUUGAUCAAUAGACUGAGCUACGGAGGGUAAAAAAUGAGGGGAUUUCCGUAACUAAUUUAAACCAAACAAGUUGAUUCCCUUGUCCAUAUAAUUUCCAAGGUUCCAACAUAUGAUAGUGAAGAAAUUGUCUACUAUUUUUAUCUCUAUUGGGAAUUGAAUGUAAGACAUUCAAAUUUUCAACUCGCUUCAUUGAUCACUAGAUCACAUCCUUAGCUACUUCGAUGUUCAAUUGUCAUAUUUGAAAAAAGAAAAACAAAUAUUUAACUACUAAGAAAGCGAGAAAAGGAGGUUCAAUUAGGGUUAGUUCAGAAAGAUUUUGAAGUAUUUCUAUUCAAUAUUUGGUUGCUUAAAAUCCUAUGUCAAUAUCAAACCUAAUUAAAUUAUUAUGAUUAGACCUAAUUAAACUAAUAUGAUUUCUCUUUGCGGGUCAAUAAGUUCUAUUUGAUCAACUUCUAUAGAGAAAUUGAUAACUUCCUUUGUGUCUUUAAGAAAUCUUCAACAAUUUAAAAAUACAUAAAAAUAAAAUAUAGUAAAUUAGUAAUCAUAAGAAAUCUUCAACAAUUUAAGAAUACAUAAAAAGAAAAUAUAGUAAUAGAAAAAUGCUUGUCGAUCAAUAAAAUACAUUUCGGUGUAAGAUUUCAACUAUGAAUGGAACUUCAAAGCACAUAAAUUAUUCAAAUCCUCUCCAUUUUUCAAAUUUAUUAUGGGUGGACAUUUCAAAAUGAUAAUAGGAACUAUAUAUGAAUGGAAUGACAUAUAUCUAAAGGUAAAAAGUAAGAAAAUAAAAUAAAACCAAGGUAAAAGCAAUAUACAAAAUAGUAGGCCUUUUACAUUUUACGGUAUAAUUCAUAUAAUAUAUGUGAAAUAUGUAUGUAAAUAUCUAUUUCAAUUCUUUUUUCUCUAAAAUAAAUUUUUUUUAAAAUUCCUUUUUCUCUGAGUAUCUUACUCUGCAUAUCAAAAUUACUUAAUUAUACCGAAAAAUCAAAAUCGAAAUAUCAGAAGAAAAAAAAAACCUACCCGAUAAUGAGAUGUAUACCAAAUUAUACACCCCUAGAAUUAAUAUUUUGAAAGUUGACAUCCACUAUUGUAUGAGAUAUAUUAUUUGUUUAAAUGUCUCUCAUGUUGUUGUCUAUGGAAAUUCAAAUGAAGGGGUCACAUAACUUUGUCCUUCUUUCACAUGAAAAUAAUAUAAAAGGUAAAGGUGGCUAAAAUCCCAUUGCCUUAGGUCUCGCCUGUCUGGUAUUGAGGAACACAUAUUCCCCCUCUAUUUGAUAAGUCUAUUUCUUAUUUGGAUUUAUCAUCAACUACUCCAUUAAUAUUGAAUACUUCCAUUUAUGAGAUUAAUCUCUUCGUUUGAAUUUGUAUAUAUGAUUUUAAUUAGAUACAGAGUUUUAAGAUUAAAUAUACUAUACCAAACAUAUACUAAUAAAAAAAUAUCUAUUAAUAUUAAAUUAAAUAAUCAUGAUAUAACCAAGCUGCAGUCGUCCAUAUAUCAACCAACCACCCUUAGCCCUUUCAUAAAAACUACUGGUCCAAUGCAUUGACAGAUCAAUGUUUGGCAAUCUGUGGAAUAGACUAUACUUCCUCGGUUCCAUUUUAUUUAUCGUGUUUUAUUGUGUACUCUUCAAAAAAGAAAUAACUAAAGAGUAAUUUAACUAAAUUAUCCUUAUAGUACUUCUGUUUUUUUUAAUACUGUCUCUCUUUCGCACUAUAUUUUUCACUAAGGGUAACAAUAUAGAGACAAACAACUAAUUAUAUCUUGAUUUUUUAAAAUAAUAUGUUAUUCUGAAUAAUUUAUUUUUAAUUAGGAUGACACGUAGGGAUGGCAAUGGGUGGUGCGGAUUGAGCUUAACCCGCUAAAUUUUUAAUCCACCCCGCCUCGCAUAACAAUUUUUUUCAUUUUCAAUCCACCCCAUCCCGCCCCGCAUAAUUUUUUAAAUAUUUUCUUUUUCUAGUUAAGUUUGAUACUAAAAAUAUAAUUCAUAGAAAAAUAAAUUCAUUUUUUCAUUAAGUUGUAUUAAUUUAAUAGGAUAGUAACUUAAAAUUUUAAUUUUUAGAGGUCAAUUGGAAAACAUGUAAGAAAUUGUAUUAUUUUUUAUUAACCAUUUCAUUUACAUCUUGAAUAUUUUAGUAGCUUUAAAUACAUUAUCUUAAUAAAUAAUGUUCUAACACUCUUAUCUUAUAACACGUAAAAAGUUAAAAUUAAAUCUAAACCCACAUAAAAUCACAUAUAUCCGCAACUGGCCCCACCCCACACAACCUUAAAUUCGCCCCGCCCUGCAUAACCUUAAACUCACCCCGCCGCCUGCCCCAUUGCCAUCCCUAAUGACACGUAAGGUUAAACGGAUGGAGUAUAUAUUAAAGUUGCAUGAGGUUAUUUAUUGGGAGAAAUUAUUUUUCUUGGGAUAAGUUUCUUAAAAAAAUUUUCUAUAUACGUUAAUGGCUUCUGUGUUUGAUUAAAUACCAUAAAUGCAGGAGACAGGUGACACAUGAUAAUUGUACAAGAUAAAAGCUGAUUGAGUAGAAUUUUUGCUUUCUUGAUGUUCAUAAUUAUUGAACAUUUGUGUCACGAUCCAGACCAUCGUGAUUGACAUCCACACUAAUUCUCUGGUGGGAGAACCACUAUUACAAUUCAAACCAAGCAACUAAACCAAACUAAGGCAUUUAAGUUACGGAAGCAAGUUAAAUACUAAGGAAAUAAAUAGAGUUCUCAUAAACUCUAAUAAAAGUCGAACAACAAUAAACUAACAUUGCGUAAGUAAUGCCUAGAACCUGAAAGUCAAUGUACCAAAACAUCUAAAGUUCAACAAGUCUAAACAAGAAGGGAUACAACCCCCAAAUUAAUGCACUAAUAACUAACUAGAACAUAGUCUAAGUCCGAAAAUAGUGGACAUAGACGAAAGAGAACCCAUGGCAGCUUGGAAGAAUUGACUCACCCUUGAAUUCGAACGAUCAUUAUUCUCCUAAGCGAGGUCGGUCGGUAGCCGCUUGAAGAUGCCCUGUACUCAACAAAAAUAAGAGCAAGUGCAGUAUUAGUACACAAUCACAGUGUACUGGUAGGAUCAUGCGGCUAUCCCACUAAGUGUAACAUACAUUAGUCAAUACAACAAUAUAAUCACAUGCGCAUAUCGAACAUAUACAAUAUCAUCAACAUAUACGAACAAUGAACAACUUCACAAUUUCUCAAGAUACACAAUUAUGACAAGUCAUUGGUCCUCUCAUGGAACCCAAACCCAAACAGUUAUCAUAUCGGAACGCGGUACCCGAUCCAAUGAUUAUGCCGGAACGUGACAACCGAUCUCAUAAUUAUGCCGGAACGUAGCAACCGAUCCAAGUUAGUUAUGCCAGAACGUAAUCCAUUCAACACACUACAAUCACAAUCACAAGUAUAUCCUCAAGAUCAAAUAAUUAAGUCAUGAUUCAUGCCAUUUAUCAUUCAUCUAUCUCAUUUACAACAAGUGUGAUCAACAUUGCAACAUUCAUACAUAUACAAGUAUCAUAAUGAAGCAAGAACAAACAUACAUCACACAAUCAUAGAAUCACAACCAUCACCUACCUCGAAACAACUUUGAAACCCUAAUAAGCUUGAUCCUUCCCUUUUCGGAUUCGUUCCGCUUGUUCUUGGUCUACAAACAAUCAAUAGAAUACGGGAAUCANNNNNNNNNNNNNNNNNNNNNNNNNNNNNNNNNNNNNNNNNNNNNNNNNNNNNNNNNNNNNNNNNNNNNNNNNNNNNNNNNNNNNNNNNNNNNNNNNNNNNNNNNNNNNNNNNNNNNNNNNNNNNNNNNNNNNNNNNNNNNNNNNNNNNNNNNNNNNNNNNNAAUUAUCCAAAUUAGGGUUGUUUCCAUCAUAGAAUCUAUAACAACCCCCCCCCCAAAUCAAUGUUCACCCAUUCUAUUACAUUCUACGGAUCGAAGAAUGGAUUUGGAGAGUGAAAAACUUACCUUUAGCCUCAAGAAUGGUGAAAAAUGAGUAGGAGUCGCCUGGGGUUCGUUCUUUAGCUCUAAAAAUCGAAAAGUGCAGAAUGAGGUCGUUUAGGGAUUUAUUUACGACUUUAAGUCGUGUCGAACCCGCCACAGCGGCCCUUACCCCGCAAGAGCGACACCAAUCCCGCUAAAACGGCUUGCACGGAAUCAGUGAGCUAUUUAAAGAAUUCCAAGACCCCCAUUUCACAACACACAUCUAACCAACGACGAUAAGAAAAUACCCUUUACGCUAAGAUCGAUUUUGGGAGUUCUACUCGCCCGAAUUCAAUUUCGUAAAGUUGUACGGGUUUUUUAACAAGUUAUCUAACCACUCAUAUAACCAGAAUUAUAAAUAAAUCACCCGAUUGUUACUAGAUUUCUCUACACCUUAAAGACUCCGAUUUCGUCCAAAUCUGGACUAGGUUGGGAAAAUCCAAAUACUACGAAAAAGUUUUUCGGUCCUAAAUUUUCCCCCGUUGGCAUUUCUAUAACGACGGGAACAUGUCGUUACAAUAGAUACCAAUUUACCCAUCACUCGUCCCCGAGUGACAAAACUUAGGAAAAUAGGCUAAGGAAGGAAUGAAGUAGUACCUGAAUCAACGAACAAUUGGGGAUAUUUGUCUCAUAUGUCUCUCUCGGUUUCCCAAGUAGCUUCCUCAACUGGGCGAUGCUUCCAUUGAACUUUCACGGACUUAAUCUCCUUGGUCCUCAACUUACGCACAUCACGAUCAAGAAUUGCAAUCGAUUCCUUCUCAUUUUGGAGGUCCUUGUCUAACACAAUUGAGUCCCACUUUAAGAUAUAAUCCCCGUCACCAUGAUACCUCUUCAACAUGGACACAUGAAAUACCGAAUGAACACCCGAUAGAUUGGGAGGUAAAGCCAAUCUAUACGCUACCGGUCCUACACAUUCAAGAACCUUAAAGGGGACCAAUAUAUCACGGACUUAGUUUGCCCUUCUUGCCAAAUCUCAUCACCCCUUUCAUGGGUGAUACCUUAAGAAGAACAUUUUCGCCAGUUUGAAACGUCAUGUCUCUUACCUUAUGAUCCGCAUACUUCGUUUGUCUACUCUAGGCUGUUAAAAGUUUAGCUUGAAUACUAUUUACCUUCUCGUGAGCAUCCUUUACUAAAUCAACCCCCAAAGGUUUCACAUCGCCAGCCUCAAACCAUCCUAUGGGUGAUCUACAUCCCUUCCCAUAGAGUGUCUCAAAUGGUGCCAUAUCUAUGCUGGAGUGAUAACUAUUAUUAUAGGAGAACUCACACAAAGGUAUGAAUUUACCCCAAUGUCCUCCAAAAUCAAUCACGCAUGCCCUCAACAUGUCUUCUAACACCUGGAUAGUCCUCUCUUACUGUCCGUCUGUCUGUGGAUGGAAGGUUGUACUACAAGUGAGUUGUGCGCUCAAUUCAUCAUGUAAUUUCCUCCAAAACUUAGAUGUGAAUUGGGUACCACAGUCUGAGAUGAUAGAGAGGGCCACCUCAUGCAACCUCACUAUCUCCUUCACAUAAACUUUAGCCAAUUGUUCAACAUUAUAAUCUGUUCAUACUGGAAUAAAAUGGGCUGACUUGAUCAAUCUAUCUAUCAAUCACUUCCCAAAUAUAAUCAAACUUUCCCAAAGUCUUGGGAAGACCAACCACAAAAUCCAUGGCUAUUCUUUCCCACUUCCAUUUCGGAAUUGACAUUCUUUGAAGCUAACCAACGGUGAUCAAAAAAUACCCUUUACGCUAAGAUCGAUUCCGGGAGUUCUACUCGUCCAAAUUCAAUUCUGUAAAGUUGUACGAGUUUUUUAACGAGUUAUCUAACCACUCAUAUAACCAGAAUUAUAAAUAAAUCACCCGAUUGUUACCAGAUUUCCCUACACCUUAAAGACUCCGAUUUCGUCCAAAUCUGGAUUAGGUUGGAAAAAUCCAAAUACUACGAAAAAGUUUUUCGGUCCCAAAUUUUCCCCCGUUGACAUUUCUAUAACGACGGAAACAGGUUGUUACAAUUUGACAACAAUGUUGAUCUAAUGUUAUUUAUUAGUAAUAAAAGAAGAUAAGAAAAUGACUUUUAAUUUGUGCACCUACUGAUGAUGGAAAUCAUUGUUACUCUCCUUUUCGUUGUGAAGAUAAUUUUGCUACAUAAAAUUUAUUGUUCCAAAUAUUCAAAUUAUAUAGGAAAUAUAAUUUUGGGCAUACAAAACACACUAUGUGUGGAUAUAAUUGCUAUAAAAGGAGUUAUUCUUGUGAAACAUUUUCAAGAUUGUCUAACUAUAGUCUAUAAGAAUGCUGCUAGUACUUAUUUUUUUUACAUAAUGGGACCUUUUAUAUACUUGUGAGUUAUGCAUGUGUGUUUGAAAAGUUCUUUCGAAAAAUAUGUUUCAUAAAAAGGAGGAAAAUGACUAUUUUGAUCACUUAUAAAUGUGAGUUAUUUUCUUCAUAACUAUCUCAACCGAUCUUAAUGUCAUAUCACUACUAACCAAUAUUUUUGACUUUAUAAUCAACUUUUAGUACUCAAAUAUUUCAUUAAAGUACUGGCCAAUUAGCUAGCAUAUUUAUCCAUCUAUAAUAAAUUAAGAUCACGACAUCACAUAAUCAUAAGUCAUUGUUCCAUUUGCUUAGACGAAGGAUUUAUUGGGGCAACGAACGGUUUGGUGCAUGAACGUAUGUUACGUAACAUCUCAAUAUAAUCAAUAGAAAUUUCAUCAAAUUAUUAACACUAAUUGUUUAGUCACGUAUGCAUUAAUAUAAUGUGGGACGCUAACUAAACCUACACUAAAUUAAACUUCUGUUUUGGAAGCUUUGAUAUGUUUCUUCUACGUCGUUGCUCUCUAAUAAUUAAGACAAUAAAAAUAUCAUCAUUUUGUUAGGUGUAUUUUGACACGUGGAAGUAGGAAAGUUGGAGGAACAAAAGACUAGUGCACUAAUGAAUAGUACGGGGUAUAUGACAAGCUAAUAUAAGAGGAAAGUAAAAUAUUUUGUAAGCGUAACACAAGUUCACUUGAUAUACAUAUAUGUCAUAUGUCAUGUUUGAUCUUAACUAGUUCUAUUUAAUGAAAAUUGUGUUAAUUUUUUAAUGGGUAAACAACAUAAAUUCCACUACUUUAGAUCCUAAUUACUAGGAUUUUUGAUAGUUUUUUAUAUUACUUCCUAUACCAUUUUCGAUGGUGAGAUACACGUAUCUCGAUCCGUCAGAUACGUGUAUCCAUAGGGUUUAAAAUGCCGAGAUACAUAAUUUAAGACUUUUGAAUUGAAUGUUGUUACUUAUUAUGAUCUUAAUUAAAGGAGUAAAUUAGGGGAAAUUAACAAACUAAACAUGUAUAUAUGGGUUUCAUUGUAUAUUGCUAAGCAUGUAUAUGAGCAUUUUAAUAAUUUAAUGUUCAUUUUAUAUCAUGUACAUUUUGUUAAGCAUGUAUCUUCGACAAUAAUGUGGUACUGAUACAUGAAAAAAUGUGUCAUAUUUUUAUAUUGUGUAUCUUGAACAAAUAAUGUGUAUCUUAGACAAAUAAUGUAUACGUCAUUGAUAAAGGUAACGAUUUUAUGUCUAAGAGUAAUGAUUUGUGUAGCAUAUAUGAUUCGUUAUGCAUGUAUUUCAAAUAUUAAUAUGGGAUUUGUAUCUAGUAAAUUAAGAUAACUUUAGAUACAUUAUGACCAGCGUAACGAGAUGCAUGAAAUUUGUAUCUAAAAAUAUUUUGCUUGCAAUAUUAUGAAAUUUAUAUAUAUAUAUAAUGUUUGUAUUGUUACCUUUAAGGUGAGACCUUUUGAAUCAUUGUACAAAGUUACUGAUAGUGUAAAUUUUCAUCCAUUAAAAAGUAUGGGGAACUAAUAGAUUCAAACAAUGUAAAAACCCUAAAAUCGAACUUUAAAAGAAUUAGAGCUCUGAAUCAGAUACAUUAACAUGGUAAGAACAAAGUUACAAUACAAUAUCUCGGAAUAGCUUAACAAAAUCUUAUUUUACCUAUUUAUAUAAUGUUGAUUAUAGAGAAUUGGUUAUGAAUUUUGUACAUGCAAACAUGUAUUGAGAUGGUUGAGGAAGAAGGGGGGUAAUGAUAGAUGUGUGUGAAACAAAACAUGUAUUGAAAUGGUUGAGGAAGAAGGGGGUAAUGGUAGAUGCGUGUGCAGUGUGAAACAAUGAAUAACAUGGGGGAGUAGACUGAUGGUGUGAAGAGAGAGGAAGUGAUGUGAAUUGUUAAAGUCCCAUUGGAGAUAUAAUUUUAAGAUAAUUAUUAAAUAUCAUAUUUAAGGGGAUUGUGUAUCUAAUUUAACUUUUAAAACUAUAUGAUAUAAUUAUUAAAAAAUGGUAUUAUAUGUAAUAUUUUUAAAUUAAAGGUAAAAUAUGUAUAUAUUAUAGUAAAGUAUGUCUAGAUAGGUAGUUUCAUAAUAUAUGCAUGAUUUGGCUUGAAUAAUCACUGCUAUCUCAGCACUUGAAGCGACAGAAAAUGUGGAAAAAAACUGCACUUAAAGAUUAGGUAAUUCCUAGAGAAGCCUAAAUAAAGAAGUGAAUAUGCAGUGGAAUGAAAUAAUUGUCGGCCACUAAACCUAAAUUUUAGGAAAUACAACUAGAAGACUAACAGUCCCAGUCAAAAUAGCAUAGUAAGAUUUCGAUGUGAAUUCAAAUUAAUUAAUGCAAUAAUUUUUUUGACAAAAGUUCAAAGUAUAGUGGGGUAUGUGCCAGUUAUAGUCAAACAUUUACAAAAAUGGGAUUUGAGGAGUGAAACCUAAAGAAAGAGACACUCACAUUGCUGUUUACUAGGCUAUUAUUGGCUAUAGAAUGAUGAAUUUAAAAUAAAUAUUCUUACCCAAUAAUGUAUGUAGUUCCAUUUUAUAGCAAGGAUAAAAAAGCUAUAGGGAUGGGUUGGUGGUGGUGGUGGGGUUCACUUAACUAUUACAUUCAUAAUUACUUAUUAUUUAAUUUUUAUAAUUAAUUUUGUUUGAUAUCGAAUAAUUAUAUUCAUCAAGAUGUGAUUGAUGGAAUAGUUUAAGGUCCUAACUGGGGAAAUAUAAAAAUAUUUACUUAUUUGUAAUUAUUUGUGUAAAUAUGUAAUUAGCAGUAACGUGAUAUUUUUUCUGUGAUUUCGUUGUAGGUGAAUGGAGUAUCUAACAAUGCCACAAUAAAAUCGCAAUUUAAUUUCAUGGUUUAAAUUUAUUAAACAUUCUGACAACAGUUGACCAAUUGAGUGUUUCCUUAAUUAUUCCCUACUAAAUCUUUUGAUUUUCUUAAAGAAUGCUAUAUUUGGUGACAAUAGCAAGUUUAAUCAUUACCAAGAAAUCUUACUAGUGUUAAAUUAGGUCUUAGGCCUAACUCACACCCCAAAAGCUAGCUCAAAGGGAGGAGGAUUGCCCAAGCCUUAUAAGGAGUCCACCCAUCUCAUUAACCACCGAUGUGGGACUUUUGUCAUUCUUUAACAACUAGCAGUACUACUUAUAAUAAGAUUUAAUCCUAGAUUAAAGGCUAAAACACUAUGAUUAGGACUCAUCUUGAUUAGUCUAAGACAAGAGUUCAUAAUGGCCUUGUCGUCAUGGUAUUAAUGGUAAAAUAAUAAUAUUAUAAGUUGUUAAUCAUCUAGCUAGAAUACGUAAACAUCUAGAAUCUUCGUGGUAAAGAAUCCUAGCUAUUUUGAUGUGUCUUAUUCUAAAAUUAAUUUAAUACAUGCAUAUUUAGAGAAUUUCUCGAUACAUAAAUCAUAUGAUUUGAUUUAAAAUUAUUAAAUUACUCGAUCGACGUGUAUAAAAAAAAUGUUAAAGAAGAGGGUAGAGCUGCGAAUAAUCUAUUUGUCUAUAUGGGGCCUAAGCACAUGUCCUGUAACAAGGACCAGCUCAACUACCUGAGUUGCAUUAUCAAGAAAUCAUAAUUAUAAACGAGAAAAAAAAUGAAGGAAGAGAAAGUAGUUUAUGUACUAGCCGGGGCGAAGCCACCUCAUGGUUAGGGGUUUAUUCGAACCCUGUUCAAUGGAAAAUUAUAUUACUUAUACACGAUUAAAAUAUUUUUUUAUGAAUUAUAUAUAGUAGAUGUCGAAUCUUCCUUCAGCUAAUUCAUGUGUCUAUUUCUUUAGAUUUUGAACACUCUUAGCAAAAAUUCUGACUCCAUGAAAUUAAAAAAUAAAUCAUGACUAUAUAUAUAUAUAUUCCCUUUUCCAUACUUAUUCUAUAGAAUUCAAAACAUUGACAUGGAAAGUCUUGUAAAGGCUUGUGAGUGACCAAAAAUAAUUUAAAAGCCAAAAAAAGUUUAGGAAAAAAUAAAAUAAAGGAGCAAUUAUUGAUUAUAUGAACAUUUGGUGGACCAUUUUGUCAUUGUCAAUUAAAUAAAAACUAAAGUACGAAUGAGAAACAACGUGAAGUUUUCCUAAUUAUGCGGAGAUAGGAAGUGAGAGUUUUUUUUUUUUUUUUGGGCGGCGGGGGUGGAGUUAGGAAAUUUGUUGAAAUGUUAACUCAAUUUGAAACAUUUAAUAGUAAUCGGUGAUUAUAAGAGUAUACUAGAAGAAUAUUUGUAAAGACAAUACUGUUCAGAAUCCAAAUACACAGACAAAAAAAGUAAAAAAAAUAAAAAAAUCCUACUAAUAUAUGCUAAGUUGAGGUAAUAUUUUUUUUUUUAAUUUCAUCUUUAAACUAUUAAAAAUUUGAGAAACAUACCUCAAUAUUGAAUUGACCAAAUAGGUGUACAGGCACACUUGGGUGUGUUUGCUCUUGAAUUUCGUCCAUGUGGUUUUAAAAAAUAUUUUUCUGGAUUUUUUAAACUUUCCCCUUCUUCAUCAUUUCUCAAUUGUUUUUCUUCAUUCCUUUCAGAGUUAACAUCUUAGAAGGUCAUUGAACUAUGAGAAUUUAUCAAGUAAAGUCAUUGAAUUUCAUUUUAUAUCAAUAAAAUCACUCAACUUAAAGCUUUUAUAUUCAAAAAUUACUCAACUUAAAGCUUUUAUCUUCAAAAAUCACUCAACAACAUUUUUCAUUAAAUAAAUUUAACAAGACAUAAUAAAUUAUCAAAAACACAUUAUGUUUUUUUUCUAUUUUAUUAUUAAAAUAAAUUUAUUGGAAUUGGUUAACGAAUUAGUUAAUUAAUUAAAGUAGUUGAUUAGUUGAUUAAUUGUAGUUAGUUAGAAAGUGGGGACCACAAUUUGUUAGUCGGUUCAUAUUGUAUAUAUAGCAAUGUGCACUGUAAACUCUUCAGUUAGUUGAAAUAAUAUUUUCCAUUCUUCUCUUCUUCUCUCAAACUGAUCUAUCGUUCAUAUCAUUGAGUUGUAUUUUCAUCAAAAUUUGACAUAACAAAUAAAAUUAUUUUAUAUGUCAUGUAAAUAUGAAUAUCACAAAUUGAAAUUUUAUAUUUUCAACCAGCAGCACAUAAACCUGCACAUAGCCACGUUGCUUCAAUAUUCAUUUUCUACAUUUUGUGCCACUGUUCGUAAACAAAUUUUUUUGGCUGAAGUAAUCAUCUAUUGAUUACAUUGAUUAGAUACUCCAGUCUCCAUAUACAAACAUAUUAAUUUAAUUAUAAUAUAAACAAAUGAGUAAUAUAGUGUAUAACCCAAAACAAUUAAUGAGUAAUAACGUGUAGUUUUUAUUUUCAAUUCCUUGAUGUGAUUUAUAGAAUUUAAUUACAUUUAUGUUGCUAGCUAGCUGGUUGUAAUGUAAUAGUGGAUCUCUUAUGAAUAUGAAUUUUACACCCAAAUUUUAUUUUAUUUUCAUUUGUAACUGGAAACAGAGAACUGAAUCAUUGAUAAAUAGGAUAAAAUGACUUUUUUAAAAAAUAUUUAUUUAUGGGGUUCAUGUUUAUAUGGCCUAAAAAAUAAUUUAUUUUGUUAUAUUAAAUUGAUUUUAAUAAUAAAUGUAGUUGAAUGAUUUUUGUAGAUAAAUGUCUUAAGUUGAGUGAAUUUUUUGAUAUAAAACAAAGUUUAAUAACUUUGCUAGAUAAAUUCUUAUAGUCCAAUGACCUUUUAAGAUAUUAACUCUUUCUUUCACCUUUAUUGCAUAUUUUUUUCAACCUCACUCCUGCUUCUACUUCUAUGUUUAUCAACAUUCUUCUUCAUUUUAUUCUUUUAUUGGUUAGUUUGAUUUGUUUUUCAUUUUAAUUUACAUUCUGCCACGUUGUAAUUGUUUUCCACGUACCAUCACAUAUUACUUGAGUGAUAAUUUAGAUGUGUUUCUUACACUCUUAAUUGUUUAGAUGUGAAACUCAUAGAUAUAUUUUUGAAACGUAACCUUUUUUUUAUGGAUCAAGAUGCACGCUAGUUGUAUGACAAUGAGACUUGUACCCAAGAUUCUUACGAGAAAAAAAAAAACAAGAAACUUCCUUUCAUUUAAUUUAAUAAUAAGAAGAGUAAACAGUCUUUAGAAAUUAAUUAGAUAGAUAAGUUAAUGAUGAAAGAAAAACAUUAGUAUAUAUUAAGAUGGAAGUCAAGUCUUCGUUUACAAAUUAAAUGAUAGUACUAUGAAAAAAGGGAAAAUGGUCAUCAUCCAUACAUUAGUCUUCAAGAAUUAAGAUAUAUAGUGAUAGACUUUGAAUUUUAUCUUGUCAUCCACAACUAGUCGUCAAUCACAUAAUAAAUAUUUUGUUUGUCACACUUAGGUUAAAACUAAUUGAUAGCGUUGUGGAUAGAGACGAUACGUUCAUAGAAAUAUUUGUAGUGAGACAAGAGGGGACCCCAUGUUAAGAACAAUAUAUAGCUUGUUAUUAAUUAGUAGAUUUGAUCAAUAUAGAAGACCAACAAAAUUGAGGAAGAAAUUAAAUUAGUAUGAUAGCUAGCUAGAGUGAUAGUGAUUAAUAGCAAGAAAAAUAUGGAACAAACUGGAUUUUCCACAUCUUAUUCAUUAACUUAUCAUAUGGAAUAUGUAUGCACAUAAGGAUGGUUAAGAUAAUUUCUGGAUCUUGACACUUGGAGAGCUGUCGAUUAUUAGGCUAUAGAACAUAUCAUGUGCAAGUUAGUGUUGUUUGUUUUAGUUAAUUAAAUGUCAAUACAGAUAUACAUCGGGUGAGUUUAGGAGUUGGGUAUUAUGGAUUUACGAUACUAUUAAAUUUGAUGACGAUUUGGGUUAUUGGGUUCAAAAUUUAGUAUUUAUACAUGAUUAGUUUUGUGAGAUUAUAUCGAGUAUGAUGUUAGCUAGUACUACAUGGUUAUAUCAAAACUAUUGAGUUCCACGGAAUCCAAUCAUCCAUAACUAUUGGUUGGUAAUGCAUGUAUUUCUUCUCAUUGGACUGCUUUAGACUAUGUUAUUCCUUGAAAGCAAUCUCUCUACUUCUGAGGUAUAGAUAUAAGGUUUACAUACACUCUACAGUCUCCAAGCCUGAUCACUUUGUGUGUAUGUUAUUGUUGUUGUAUUUCUUCCUUUGUGCUUGUUAUUUUCUCAGCCAAUUAAUCUGAAGAAUUUUUCUUCCUAAAAUGCAACCAUCACUUUUCAAUUUUCCUACCAUGAAGAUUGCAAACUUGAGUUUUUGGGCUCUUUCACCAUUCAAUUUUGGCAUUUGCAAUAGUUGUAGUAUAGUAUUGUGGCUAGAUGUACGUAGCGUAGUUAGGGCCUGUUUGGAUUGGCUUUUGGCUUAUGAUUUAUAAGCCAAAAGCCAUAAGUUAGGAUUUCUAACUUAUGGUUUUUGGCUUAUUUUUGUUAUUUUGACUUAAAAAUAAGUGUUUAUAAGCACUUUUUAACUUUACUCAAACACUUCAAAACUGCUUAAAAGUUAUUUUGGCUUAAAAACACCUAAAAUAAGCCAAUCCAAACUGGCACUAAGAUUGAAGCUUUUUUCUCCCCUUUACACCAUGUUUUCUUUUCUUUUUAAUAAUAAAUAUUUGCAUUUUUCCUAGCCUAGCUUCACAACUCACAAGUAGCAAGUAAAUAUGCCUUCUUAUGAUUUUGUAACGAAAUAAGAGAAAUACAUUAGGUAGUAAAUUUUUUAUUUUUUUUAAUAAGUAUAAAGUGCAAAGUACAAAAGAGUGUAUAGAUUAAAGGAGCAAAAUGUCAAGAAUUUUUCACUAGUACAUUUACUAGCUCUUUGUAUAACACAUGAUCUAUAUAGUAUGGGGGGAAAUUAAAAAAAAAACUCAUCAAUGUGUCAGAGGAGCAGAGUAGUUUAACAAGUUCGACUUCAUAUUGACUUUGACGUUUCAAUACAAGUCGUUCCAUUGAUAACUUGGAGUAUAAAAAAAUAUUACAUUGCGAGCGUAUGUAUCUAAUUUUUAUCCUAUCAGUAUAUAUAACUUAAAUAUCUCAAUGUGAGCUGAGUAAGUAUAUGUUGUAAUAUCAUUUACUUAAUGGUUUUCUAAUAAUUAGAACUUGUAUAUACACAGAACAACAAAGUAGCUAGAGCAAAAAAAAAAAAAAAAUCUCACUGGAAAUACUGAAAGUGAUAAACUUUACAGAUACAACCAAGGUAACUGUUGUACAUACUACUAGUUAAAAACGAAAAAAAUAGAACUCUUCCCAUGAUGACUUUAAUUUGCUCUGUACAACAUCAUAGUAAAUUACUAAUAAUUCUAGCUAAUAUUUACUGAAGGUCGAAAACAAUCUCUCAUAGAAAUGCAGUACGAUAUAUUUUUGUGGUUUAGCCUUCCUAAACCUCACAUAUAGCGAGAACUUAGUGCACUGGACUCCUUUAACGUGCUCGAUAUAUUCAAUUAACGUGCUCGAUGUAGCCUAUUAUUCUUGAAGGCACGCUGAUCGGAUUCUUGCCUCUGCAGCAAUCUCUCAUGGUUGAUCUUCUUAAUAAAAUCAUCAAAUCUCUUGUUGGAUUCCUCUGUACUAACAGAAACAUCCCCUCGUAAACCCCCUCUUCGAAACACCGAUAAAGCAUCGUUAAAUGUCACUGAUUUUCUCAAGUCUUUCCAUGCUGCAGCUACUGAUGGCAACAAGUCCUUUGAACCAAUGCUCUGUGCUGAUUUCACCUGUGGCUCAAUUGGCCAUGUCUCACUUUUCUUCAGUACUUGUUUCUUCUUUUUCGUAUUGUUUCCCCCUCCUGUGAUCGUCUUCCAUGUUGCGUCCAACGAGCCAUCAUCCUCUUCAAUAUCUUGAUAAUUCAUCAUCGUUUCUUCGUAAUCAGUUCUUGUUGCAAUUGUCUCACUAACAAUUUCACGAGCCUCAGGAAAAGACAAUUUCGUUACACAAUCAAUUUCAAUAUCUUUCACAUCAUCACUACAGGAGAUCAAUUCAUCUUCAAUUAUAGUUUCUUCUGAUACAACAGGAUCCAAAUUAUAACGACUGAAAAACGACAUAACAGUAUCCAUUGCAAUAACAGAACUAGUUCUUUUCGGUAUAUUAUCGUGUUGUGGCUGAAUCUGAAUAUCAUCAUUAUCACUAAUAUUCUCCUUUUCAUCUAUAAAAACAUUGAGAAACUCCAUCGUGGGAUGGUGAAAUUUCGAAAAAGUGAAAAUAAGUAUAACAACAGAGUUGAUAAAAAGGCAAAUAUAAAGUGGAGAUGACAAGAAACUCUUCGAAUAAUUCAAGAUUUCACUUAAAUUAACAAAGAACAUGUUAAAUAAGUAACGAGGACUAAUAGCUUUUUUAAGCAUGAAAAAAGUAGAAAUAAAUCCUGUUGAUAAAAGAAGAAGCUCCAUGGUUAAUAUUGUUGUUUUGAUCAAUUUGCCUCUUUCCUCUGAUAAUCUAUUGGCUAUCAAAGUUGCCAUGGACGAAAAAAAGAUCAAUUUUUUGGGGUAAUUUGUUAUGAAGAAUUGCAAAGUGCAAAGAGUUUAUGAUAAAAUGAUCUUUACAGGCUAGCUAGGCACUAGAGAUAGACAAAGAGAUAUAUAUUGAGUGCAACACAACACUAGAGACCCACAGAGCAAUAUCAAGUAAGGCUAAUGGAAGCCUUUUUAUAAGUAGACAUUGGUGACAAUAAUGAAUGUCCCACUAAUCUACUUUUAAAUUAAUUUCAUUAAUCAUUCAUAGGAAUAUAUGUUUUUUCCCUUUUAGAGUUUAACUUAUAAAUAUGCACUGAUAAUGUAAAAGAAUUUAAAUUAUCGGCAUAGGUAUAAAUGUAACGAGUUACUUAUCAUGUUUUGCAUGUUACCUAGAUAUGUGUGUAUUUAGACAUUUAAACUACUGCUUUUAGAAUAAUUUUAGACAUGUAGUAUUUGAAGCUAGGUUUAUGACUCAAAUUCAAGUAUUUCUACCUAAAUUUUAGGUAAAAGUCGCUGAAAUUCAGCAAUACGAAACUUCAGAUACCACAUAUCUAUAGUUAUUUCGAAAUGGGUAGACUUGUAAAUUUUUAUACAGUGCUGAUCAAUUGAAGAGUCAAACUACAUGGGAAAAUAGCAUCUCCUAAGUCUCGGGCUUACUUUGAAAAAAUCACAUGCAAUUAUCUUUAAAAUAACCCAAUUCUUAAUAUAUAAAAAUUAAUAAACUAAACUAAAGUGUAUUUUAAUUAAACUCUUUUUAUAUUUGUGUGGGUGGAGUAAAGGGGUGAAAUGAGGCUUUGCAAAAGUAAAACCAAAUCAAACAGGCUGAUUAGACUUUCAAGUUUACCAUUAGAUUUUUUGAUAACUACUUUGAAUAUAGCCCUUGGUCUACACUUUUGUUAAUAAAAUCCUAAUAGGAAGAUAAUGAUGAUAAACUUCCAAGUUUAUGAAGUUUGACUUUCGAGAAGAAAAAUAUGAUAAGUUAAAGUGAACAUGAGAGUAAUUUUUAUUAUCGCUUCUUAGAUUUUGUAUCAUAGAGCGAAUCCAAAUAGAUCAAGAUGCUAAGAUAUAUUUAAUAGGCAAGAAUGAUAUAAAAAGGCAACUUUAUGGAAACUUAAUUAGGUUUGCUUUAAUUUACUAUCCAUCUAUGCUUAUUAUAAUUUGAAUUGAAUGAAGCAUGUUAAACCUAAAAGUAAUUAAUUGCUAAUCUUUCUUUGUUCUUACAACUAAGAGCUGACUAACCAAAGUCAGUCAACAUACCUAUCUUAUCCUAUUAUUUUUUUGCUGACGAGCUUUCUCUAGUGUUUCAAGUAAUCUUAGCUGAAAAUUUGAGUUUUUAAAUGAGAUGAUGAUCAUAUACUUUAACAUGAUAUUAAAGUAGAUAAAUAUUAUAGAAUCAAAUUUUACUGUCACUCGUUAGCAAAAAGAUUUUUAACAGCUUGAUUCAUAAAUAAAAAAUCAAGCACACACAUGAGAUGAUCGUGUUGAAAUAUAAUUAAAUAACUAAAAAAAACUUUCUUUAACGACUUAAAUUCUUAUUAAUGAGAUAAUUACACACUUCAAUACAACGAAGACCUGUUAAUUAUAUAUUUACAAUAUUUUUUCACAUACUUGUCCAAGUGUAAAGGUAUAAUCACUCCUUUAAAAACACUAUAUUAAAAAUUAUACUAUUCUUCCAUGUCGACAUACCUGACAAUGAAAACAUACCAAAUACUCAUUAAAGUAUCUUAUUCCUACCCAUAUCCUAAUCCUGAGAUAUAUAGAAACCUCAAUCUAAUUAGUGUAAAAAAAUAUUUUUGUCAACAAAUGAGUCCUGUAUUUAAGUUUACAUAUUUAAUAAUAAAAUAAAGGACGAAAGAGAAUAGAUCACAUUUUAAUACCUAGCUCCCUCAGCAUAAAUAUCUUCUACUUAAAAUAUCAAAGUAACAGUUACACACAUACAAUAUACAAAAAAAAAAUAUAUGCACAAACCCAUGACAUUUAUCAAUUGAUUUGAUAUAAAUAUCCAGUACGAAUAAGUUUUUUUUAUCCAGAUGUUACUUGUAGUCUGUAGAGUUACCUGAGCAAUUACAUGGAACUUUUGUACGUACUAAUUCAAAUUAAGAGAUAUAAAACAGAUUAAAAUAAAAAAGUAAUUCCCAAGGAAAAAGCUCCCAUAAAAAAUAAAAAAUAAAAAAAAAAAAAAAAAAAAAAAAAAAAAAAAAAAACUCACUUUAGUCUUUAGGUAAAACAUCAAGAAACUAUAGUACUAAAAAGGUGAAUAUAAAAAGGUCAAUAUGACCAUAUUCUAAUUUCUAUACCAUGACCUGUCAUUUCCACACUAAAGUGCAGUUUUUCUUAAUUAUAAAAAAUAACCAUUUGGAAGAUAAACUUUUACCCUUUUGGCUUGUUUUGAUAAACUUUUGGAGUCCGGUUAUAAUUUAAUCCAAUGAAGGUCAUGCUUGAGUCAUGAAAAUGAAGCUACACUACGUAAUAUCUUGUGGAAUAAGUAAUUAAAUGAUUAAUUAAUACUAAGUAAGUUUCCUAGUCAAUACCUAACGAAAAUUUAACUAUUAAUUUGUCCAUUUGUAUUUUCCAUCAAAAUUUUGUACUACUAAUUUGGGAUGGUAACCCUUGAACCAAUCGUACGUUAAAUGAAUCUUUGACAUUUUCGUUGUUAUACUGUUCCCAAUGUCAAAGCUUUUCAAAGAAAUUUCAAAAAGAACUUCCACAAUUAUUUCUAUCAAUUACUAAGGUCCGCAUUAGCGUAACUAGUAAAGUUAAUGUUAUGUGCUUAGCAGGUUAUUGUUCGAGCUAUAGAAACAUAUUGUUUGUGCAUGAUAAAAUAUAAUUACAUAUAAUAAUAAUAAUAAUAGAUUAUUAUGAUCCUUGAAUUCUACGCUAAGCAACAACUUAGUGCAUCAGACUCUCCUCUUCUUUCUCUUAUAUAGUACUCCUAUUUAACCACUUUAUUGUUCAAUGAAACAAAGUCUUUCGUCAAAAGUAUGAAAAAUAGUACUUAUAUUCAAAAUGAAAUUAUUUUCAAGGAAAAAAAGCCUAGACGAAUGGUGAUACUUCGAAACUCUCUUACAACUAGUAAUGUCAAAGUGAAAUGAUUGUAAAUGAUGAAUAUUUAUUCAUUAUCAUUAGUUUUAUCACAUUAGCUAAUUAAAUAAUUAAGCUGUUACCGAAUAAAAAUGUAUUCACCAAGUGAUUUAAAAUAUAUAAAAACACUAGUCAAAUAUAUAAAAGUUAAGAAAAUUUAAUAUAUACAGAAAAUCUAAAUUUGACCUUCCCUAUAUAUAAGAGUAUAGUUUUUUCGAAGAAAACGUUUGGAUGAUUGGAUCGUAGCUUUGCCAUGCAAUUCAUGAGAAUAGAUAAAAUAGACCGAAAUUCUUUAAAGUUGAACAUUUCGAAAUUUAUUUAUAUAAAAAUAUAUUAUAGUUGUACUUGUAAUUCAAUGGAAAAGAAAUGCAAAGAAAUUACUUGGAAAUUGGAAUUCAUGUUGUAUAUGACAAAGAUAUUUAUCCCUCAUUUCUGAUAUUUUGUCGAGGGGCCACAAAAUAACUUGCCGCUCUCCCACCUUUCCAUUUAAUUAAUUAAUUAAUUAAUUAGUUGAAAAAAUAAUAAUAAUUAACGGUAAAGGUGUGCAAAAGCCAAGUACUCAAAGGACUAACUUGUCUGGCGUUGAGGAACACAAAUACCACUAUUUUAUUUUGGUCUUAUUGUUAUCACAGCCAUAUUUUGUUAAUUUGAAAAUCAAAAGCCAAAAAUGAAAAACGGAAUUAAUGAUUAUUCUUGUUAUAUAUAAGUUUCCAAAUAGUACUCGAUGAAAUAUAGGGUGGAUACAAAUAACGUAGCGGAUGCCAUGUUAGUGAAUAGUGAGCUAAGCAGGCGAUAAUGAUAAAUAUGGAAUUUCUUUUUAAAAUAACCUUUUUAUCAAACGACUAACAAGGAUAAAAAUUCUUUGAAAAAUCAUUUUUUUUUCAAAUAUUCGUUUCCCUCUAUUUUUUAUUUACACCAAGACUAUAUAUAAAACUCAACAUAACAUAUUAAAUAUAUUUUACAAAUAUUCCGUUUGAUAUUUUGAUCUUCUACUUAAUUAACUACUUAAGAUGUAAUAUCAAUCGGGUUUGUGAACAAAUUGAACUAAGAAGAUAUAUUAAUGACGCAUUAUAUUUGGCUAUGGCUGAAAUUAUGUCUUGUCAGAAAUAUAUUCUUGGCCCUUUAUGUUCGUAAUUGAAGUAAAUCAACAAUUCAAUUGAUUGAUAUCUAAUCAUAAUAAAACAUAUAUAUUUCAUAUACAAUUGAUAAGACCAUAUAAGACCAUCACAUGUGCAAUCAAACCAGAUCGAAAAUUCAUAGAAAAUAAUUAUAAAAAAUCCUUAAAACCAUAUAAUAUAUCCAAAAUUUAUAUAUGACAUGGUCCUUUUAGUUUUCCCCCCAUUUAAGUACUAACACAUAAAAAAAAAGAUUUGGUGCAUGAACAUUUUUAUUAAGUGGAUGGAAACUUCAUCAAAUUAUGUAUAAAUAUAGUAAACUAUAGAGGUGUACAAAAUCGAACUAAAUCAAACCGCAAAUCGAGUUAAAUCGAGAAAAAAAUCUGACUAGUGGUUGGUUUGACUUAGUUUGGUAUUGGAAAAAAAACCCGACUAUAUUUGGAUUGGUUUGGUUUUAACUAAAAAAAAAUACAACCCGACAUUAUAUAUAUAAUUUUAAAAUUUUAUUUUAUACAUAAAAAUAUUUUCUUUGAUAUAAUUUUUAAAUAUUUCUUAUACUUUAUCAUAGUUUUUAUCUUUUAAUAUAUUAUUUCAAGUUUGAAACUUAGAAUUCUAAAUGAUUCAAUAAAGAUUAUAGUUCACAGAUGUUGAUAAUUAUAAUAAAGCUUAAAUAAAAAUCAAAUUAAUACUAAUGCAAAAAGAAAAUCAAUUCAACACUAAGAAUGACAAUAAUAUUGAAUAUUGUUCCUUAGUUUUACAUUGGUUUAGACAAUUCAAAUACAUAAUCUAAUUUUAAUUUCCUUUAAUAUUUAGUCAUGUAACUAAUACUUAUUAAAUUUAUUUUAGCAUGAUUUAGUACUUUUAAAUUAUGAUCAUUUUCAUUAUGACUUGUUAAUUUGCAAUAUUUGUUUUAUGCAAUUUCAUUAUUAUUAUUUUUUUGUUGGAUAUUUUAGUGUGUCAUUACUGAUAUCAUAUUUUGUGUUAUUUUCUUAAGAAACACCUUAGAUAAUUGUAUUUUGGUAGGACUAAAGAAAUAUUUGAAAUACAAGUAAAUUAUAUGUUUGUAUGAAUACUUUAACGGAAAAACCCGAAAAUCCGAAAAACCCAAAAAAAUUCGAAAAAACCCGAGGUUAAAAAAUCCAAGUUUAAUUGGUUUGAUUUGGUUUAUAGAUUUAAAAAUCCGACACAACUAAUUUGGUUUGAUAUUAGAAAAAUCCGAAUUAACCCAGCCAUGUACACCCUAUAGUAAACGUAGGCUUACAGAUUUAAUUAGAUAAAUAUAUUAUUAAUAUGGGACAAGAACCCCACAUUAAACUUUUAUUUUGGAAGCAUUGAUAAUAGUUCUUCUUUGCAGUCAAUACUUUCUCGGGGCACCAAGUGACCAUUUUGCUGUGCUCAUUAUGUUAUGUCAACAGUUUUUGUGUUUUUGGGACCUACGUGAACCUAAAUUAAAAAAGUUUCAAAAGUUGGAGGAAAAAAAACAGUGUUGUUGGAUUUGCAUCUCAAGUUUAAUAUAUGUAACAUAAUUUGAAAUGAUACAAAUUUAUGUAACGUGUAAAUAAUAGAAAAUUAGUGUGAUUAUGAUCUUAAAUAUGUCAUAAUUACUUCACUAUAUGUGUGAUUGACAAAUGAGUCACUCAUAAACAUAUUGCAAAUUACAUCUCGACUAACUUUAUUCUUUAUUAAUCCGAUUUAUUCAGAUUCAUAGAUAUAUAAGUCCUAUCAAACACAAUUUAUCCGAUUUAUUCGUAUGCUCUAAUUUGGUCUUGUAUAAUUAUGGGCCACCUAGGUCAAGCUAAAGUUUGAUGGUUUUUUAUUUAUUCUUGUAUAAUUAGGUGUUCGAUAUUUAUAUUGGAGUUUAAUUAAUCUGAAUUCACACUAGGUAGAGCUCCAUUCGGGUGUAGGCGUGUAGGCUCCCUAGCAAUAAUUUUUCCAUAUUCAGAAUUUAAAUCUAAAAUCUUUAAUUAAAAAAGAAACAAUCUUAUUCACAACAACACAUUUGUUACCGUAAAGUUGAUGAAUUUAGGAGUGAGGCAUUCUCUUUAGACACAAAAGGGUCACAUGCAUAACUAUAGGCUCCAUCGACUUGACUAGAAUAUGAUGGAUACAAAAAAAAAGAUGAAUCCCCACCCACAUACAUAAUUCAUUAUUUUAUAGCAUAAAUCAAGGGAAAAAGUCUAUAUACAUAGGCGUGGGUAUAGGUGCCGGUGGUGGUGGGGUUCCACUCCCCGGCGCUUCUAUCGCUUUUCAUGCCUAUUUUAAGAUAGUGUUUUUUUCCCCACCUAAUGGCAUAACAGACAAAUCCCUUAAUUAGGUGCCGUUUGGCAUAAAGAUAAUUGUAGACAUUGAAAAUUUAUGAGAUUUUACAAAAUAUAUUCAAUUUUAGUUGGGACUCUGUAAAAAGUAUUCGAUUCUAGUUAGAUUGUUUGGACGUUACUCUAAUCAUAAACCCUAGUUUAUGUUUAUAUAAAGAGUAUUAUAUUCCAUUAAAGAGACAUCUCAAAAAUUCCAUCACAAAUUCAUGGAAUAUUCAUAAAGAGAUCGAAAUCUUGAAUAUUCUGCAAAUUGAUAGAACAUUCACAAAGAUCAAUGGAGAUCAAAUAUAUAUCCUAAUUUGAGAAAUACACCACUAAUGACCCUUGAAUCAGGAACAAACAAAUUUGUAUCCAUAUUUAUCAAUAAAAUAUUCAUGUUUCUUCAUAUUUUUUCGUGAUUACAAUUUAUUUUCUAUCACUAUAAAAUAUAUUGCAAACAAAUAAUAUCGUGUUUAAUUGAGAUAUAUAAAUAAGUAAUUUCAACAAAAAAAAAUUGCAUAUAUAAUAAUGAUUCCCUUCAUCUCAAAUUAAUCGUUGUGUUACAUUUAUCGAAAGACAAACUAUAUAAACCUCGCCAAACAUUAGUCAUAUGCAUCUUUUUUGCAUUUGUAGUGUUGCUUGGCUUAAAAGAUUUACUUCCUUUUAGAGCCUCAAAUUUCAAGAAUUUGUAGUGGGAGGACAUACUUGAAUGCCAAGACAAGCAUUGAUCAGGACAUUUUUACCCCUACCUUCUACAUAUAUCACACACUUUUUUUUUGGUCAAUUUGGAAAAGUUUAAUGUAAACAGAAGAUUUUAAAAGUUAUAUUAGUAUAGAAUUUAGUAUUUCACAAGUUUGAGCUUUAGCUGAUAUAAAAUUAGAAAACAUUACAAGCAAACUUUCAUGUUACUUUUGAAUGAUGGGUGUAUAAGUUAGAAAACCAAAAAAGAUAAUAAGAAAUAAUUAAAGGAUAUCUUAUUCUAAAAAGAAAAAAGCUCACUAGAGAACUAUUGGAUAAUUUAACAAAUACUCCAUAUAGGUUUGUUUACAACUAUUAAAAUCUAGGUCCCUCAAGGGACAAUCCAAUUGUCAAAUUCAACAAUUUAAAAUGAAAGAUCAUGAACUUGAACCAUAAUUGAUGAGUGUUUGUUUUUUUUAAAAAAAAUAAAAUCAAUCACGUAAAAGAAGAAAGGAAAAGAAAUUAGUACAAUAUAUUUGUCCUUGGGGCCUUGCACAUGAUCUUGGCCAACCAAGAGCAACCCAGCUACCUGAUUUGUAUUAUCAUGAAAUAAACAAAUUGGACCAGCAAAAUAAUCAGAAUAGUAGUUUAUGUACUCACUAGUACAUUAUUAUUAAAAUCAUAAUGUCAAAAUGGAUUGUGGUGGAGUGGAUGUAUUACCUUAUUUUUAAUUUAAUGUCUCAGAUUCGAGCUUUCAGAAUUGAGAAGAAAUCACUUUUGAUCAGAUUCGAGCUUUCGGGAUCGGGAAAAAAUCACUUUUGAUCAGAUUCAAGCUUUCAGGAUCGAAAAGAAAUCACUUUUGAUAGGAAAUGUUUAAGCCUUAAAAUAGAAUUUUUUAAACGUGAAUUCAAAUUAGUUGAGCAUAGAUGAAUAUACUAGCGAAAACCCAGUAUAAAUAAUUCAUAAUUAACCUUUGCAAAAGGUGAAAAAUAUUUAAGAAUAUGAUUGUCCUUUUGAGCCAAGGGUCUAUCAAAAAUAACCCCGCUCCACCUCUUAAAGUAGAAAUAAGGUCUGUGUACACACAGUCAUUCGCAGAUUCCACUUAUGAAAUUAUAUCGGCUAUGUUUAUGUUGUUAUUGUUUUUGUAUGAUUGUCCCUUUACCUUUUGUAUAGCUAUUUAUUAAACACAUAUUAAAAUGGGAAUUUUGAAAGGAUAGUGAGCGGCGCCAAAAAAUAUUUAAGGAAAAACUCACAAAAUUUCUUGAAAGAUCUAAAGAUAAAGUAACAUGCUUUUAUUGAUUAUAUAUUAUAUAUAUAUAUAUAUAUAUAUGAACAUUAGGUAAAAGGUGUUGUCAUUUGAAUGGAACUAGGAAAAGUAUUUGAAACUUCAAACAAAUAAAUGAAUUAUCAUCUUGAAAGAAAACCACUAUGCACAUGUUCUUGCUGGGUGAAAGUGACCUUACAGUUUUAAAUUUUCACCAAAAAACAAAUAAUCAACUACUUAGUUCACAAUGCCAAAUUAAUCAAAUUAUUUAUACAAUCUUCCGUAUACGUUUCACUUUUAAAUAAUCCACUACAGUAUGAUAAUGCAACUUUCCAUGUAUUGAAGCUUAGAAAAAUUACUCUUCGAGUUCAGAAAGUUAUAUGAUAACAACAAUAACAUAUUCAGUGUAAUUUUACAGAUGAGGGUUUGGAGAGGAUAGAAUGUAUACAACCUUAUCUAUCUCAUGAAGGCAAAAAGAUUAUUUUCGAAAGACCUUCGACCGAAAGAGUUUUAAAAAGAUUCUCUAAAUUCUAAAAUACAAAGACACGCUUAUUUCAAUGAUAUGUCCUUUAUCUCUUUUCAAGCAUAUCUAGUAAAAUAUACCAACUCUCAAAUCUCAAUCAAAUGAGAAGUAAAACAGGAUUAAACAAAUAUAAACGUGAUUACCUGAUUUUUUAAAUACUGGGAUGAUCCCUGAUUGGCUUGUAUAAUAAUAACAUGAAUAUUUUAAGUACUUUUUUUUUUAUUAAGUAAGUGAUACUUGCAUCGUAUUUUGUUGACAAAUGAUACACAAGAAUUCAAGCUAGAUUUCUUUUUUGGGAUUUUACAAAUAUAGUUGGAAACAUCAUGAAGGUUUCCUAAUUGCUAGGAGGGGAAAAAGGGGUUAGAAAUUUGUUGAAACGUCAAUUGCUAACUCAAUUUAAUAUGUAUAUAUAUUAGCAAUUAAUAAUAAUUGAGUGAUAAUACAAGUUAGAUACGGCCCCAUAAUUAAGAUUGUGAGAACAAAAAAAUAUCACAAUCAUGUAUUAUAUUUAUACAUAUAUGCACAUCAAGUUGAUUCAUUCAAACAUCUUUAGCAACUCAACUAAUUUUUGUUUGAUUAAUAAAUACAUAAAGCAACUCAUCUAAUCUAUAGAUAAUUAUUCAAUUUAUUUCCCCUUUAAAGAAUUCCAGUCCAAUCUUAAAUACGUUGGAGUUGAAUCCAUUGAAUUUAUAGUAGUCAAAUCAAUCAAGGAAGAUUUAUAAUACAUGUACACUCACACUCAAUGAAUACAAUGUGUGUGUUUGUGUAUGUAUACAAUGAAUAUACAUGCAACAUGUAGUGGUCAAGUCGGAAUUUUCACUAAGGGAUUUAAAUCAUAAAGAAGUAAAACACACGAAAAAACAAAAUGGAUUAAGCAUCUACUAUAUAUUCCGACAAAGGGAAUUCAGAUGACCCCCUUGCGUUCUUUCAAUAAAGAACUCGACUGAGAUACAAAGAAGAAAAAUGACACGUACUACAGGAGCUGGAUGUUUAUGGCAUGAAAGGAAGAAUUUUUUUCAUUUUUUCUUAUAGCUGUGGUGUCAGGGUCAGCUUUCACACACCUCGACUAAUUCCACGGAAUACCUGUCACCUCCCACAAGCAACAUGUACCAGCUGAUAACUCUGUCUACUAAGGCUAGAACAUGUGGAAGAAUCUUUUGUAUGCUCUUUCAACUAUAUAAGGGAAGAAUAGUACUAAACAAACUUAGGAAGAUAAAAUGAAAAAAAAAAGGGAUCAAAACAAAUUGUAGUAUUAUAUGAAGGAAAUUAAAUCACUUUCUAUACAAGAAAAAAAAUAAUGAACCAUACAUUAGUUCUUUAAGACACAAGUGAUAGAAUCCAGUUGCCAACUCUUUAAUUAAUCAUAUUGGAAGCAACUGGUAUUAACACUAUACAAGUUGCUUGGCCCAUGAAAACUAAUAACAAUGGAUAGAGACUAAUCAGCCCAAAUAACAAUCCCAAUAAGUAUUCUCACAAGAAAAAGAGGCACAUCCUGCAAACAACACAAAGAAAAACAAAAAACAUACUCUGCAUAUUACAACUUAGCAAGAAAAGGAAAAAAAUAAGGCAAUAUACUAUAAAAAUUUUGCUUCCAAAUUCUAAGUUUUCCACCUUAUCCAUAGUGCAAUUACAUCCCAUAAUAGCAAUCAGGAAGAAUGCAGUUGAUAAUGGCAGAAGAGAAAUCUAUAUUAGGACGGUAUCAGCCAAACGUUAUAACGAUUGUAGUCCAAACGAAUUAAAUUGCAUUAGAUGAUUAAGUUUUUUAUCUUCACUGUUUCUACAGCGCGGGUUGAAUAAGACAACAAAAUAAAAUACACGUUACAUGUGCUUACAUGUUGAAGUGCAGUUCUAUUUGUUUGUAUCAUCCAUGAACUCUAAUCCAAUGCAAAAGUGCUUCAAUAUAACUCCCAACUGGUUCUUCUCUUGGUCUCAUCAGCUCCUAUAUUAAAAAACAAAUCGAUUUACAGGUUAGUAUUUCGUAUAAACAAAAGCUGGCCUUUAUUUAUAAGCAAGGGUGUAACUUACACUCGAAAGUUGCCCAACGAGAUGGAGGCACAAUAGUGCGAUCUUGGUUUCCUUCUGGGGCAUAGAGCAAACUGAAGAGAUCUUGCGUAUCUUCUUUGUGCUUCACGGAUGGAGCACUCAUGAGACCAUUUUUUGGAGGUAAAUUAAGAAAUUCAUCCAUCGUGUCCAAAGAAACCUGAUAAAAUGAAAUGCUAUUCUGAGCCAUGCUUGACAAUGAAAUUACGCGUCCAGGCAAAAAAAUGUAGUCUAUAUUUGGCUAUACGACUAACCAAACAGCAUAGCACAUAAUAAAGAGAUUGUUGUGAACAAAACUAUAUUUAGAAGUAUUCAAAGGCAUAGUAGAAACAUGUAAACAUAGUACAAUAUGUGCAUUACCCCACGAGAUCUUGUCGUUGUAGGAACUUGUGGAGGUUGUAUACUAAAAACAUCCUCCUCCAAGGAAUAUUUUCUUGCUUUUCUUGGAACAUCAGCUUUUCCUCCAAAAUCACUUGUUUCACCAAUCAUAUCAGAUAGUCCUGGUUGAGGAUUAUAUCUGGAAGCCCAUUUUUUAUCCUGAUACCUGGAGUCACAAUAAAAUUUAUGCAAAGGGAACUAUUAUAUAGCUUGUGAAUGCAUAAAAUAAGUUUUUAUGCUGAAUUACUUGGUUCGGAUAAAUUUCCCAAUGUCGCUUCUAUCUACACUUGCUGAUAGAUCUGCCUCCCAAUAAUUGUUCGACUUCUCAUUACCUACACCUGCACAACAAAACAUGAAACAGAACAUCAAAGGCAAAUGGAAUAUCUUCAAGAUAAUUACUGUGUUUCUUAUGUCUUGCGUUGUUAAGAUUCUAAGGAAAAGUUAAAAACUGGAGAAUACUAGUACUCUGGAAAAAAUAGUAGCUCGCCCCCCACCCCGACAAAGCACAUGACAUAAAAUAGAUAGAAUGCCAUGUAAAUUAGGAAGAGGAAGUCUCUCUUUUCCAUAUGAUUCAUUUAGAUGAAGUAGUGACAAUCUUCAGGGCUCAUGAAUACCUAAAGGUUUUCGUUACAUGUGAGCUUGAGUAAUGCGCACAGAAGAGCAACAACGAGAGAGAGAGAGUGUUACAUUGCAUAAAAGAAAUCUGCUCCGGCAGCCAUGUGUCCAAAGUUGUCGACCUUACCUAUCACAAGCAAGAAGCAUGAUAGAUAGCUAUUAGCAAUGAAAAUCUUUAAUUUCAUUCAGAAAGUUCUCCGUAAAAAGUUAUGAUCCAUAGAAGAAAAACUGAAGUCAACAACACAUAGCUUAUAAAGUAUGUACCUUGGAGAUAUGUACCCCAAGACUCCUAUGAAUUCCUGAACAUUGCAGGCAGAUGAAUAUUCCAAGGUUGAUGCUCGCCCACCUCGGGGCCCUGAUAUAUAAAAACAUCAUAAAUUAUUAAAACGCGAUUAGACUAACAAGUUGAAUGAAAGGAACAUGAUUUAUCAUAGGAACACCUUGAAAGACUUAUAUAGAUACAGAACUGUCCAUACAAAAUAUACGAUCAAUAGACGCGAACAUGGUGGAAAGUGCAUUUCUAGCUCAUUUCAUAACCUAUUACAACUCUAGAUUAUCAUCAUAUACCAUUAAUUGCUACAAUCUGGUUGCAGAAAACGCACCUUCCCCGACAAUCUGCACAUUCCCUAUUUUCUGGAAGCUUAAGAAGGCCCUCCAAUAUCUGCAAGCAGUGAAUAACACACACUAAGCUAGAAAAUCACACAUAAACUGCAGAAAAAACCAAUACCGCCAAUGUGAGACUUUUUGUUUUUCUUUAACAACACAUAAAGUGCAGACACCCAGUGCUUAGCAAUCUGGUGCAGGGAUAAUUUUAAUUUUUGGGGCCCAUCAUUGGGUGAGAUGAGCCCUACUCUGAAAUCAUGUUAAAUUAGAUCUUAGCCAAACUCACGUUCCAAAAGGAGGAGGAUUGGUCAAGCGAGUCCACAUUAACCGCCAAUGUGAGAUUCUUUUAACAACUAUUGACAAAGAAUUUGAUUUAAAAAAAUUACUACUACCAAAUCUAAUUCCUCGAUAAGGCAGAUAAAAUUGGGCAUAAUUUAUUCUAAUUCUUCUCCUUAUGAAUUGUAUAUGAUUCGCAAAUUGUAAAAUUCAAAGUAAUCAACACACAAAGCUACAAAUAAACAGGGCUGAUGAUUAACCCUAUACUUUCGUCUCGAAACAUAAACUCACUAAAAUUGCAACAUAAUAUAGAGAACGUAAAAUAUUGAAUCCAUAAAAUUUAAAUCUCGAUGAUCCGCAAUUCCACAUAGAUAGAAACAGAGGAUAAUCAUUACCUUAGCAUGUUUGGCAUUAAGCUCCUUAGAAACGGAAGCCUUGUCGUUCAUGGCUGCUGAUUAAUUUGUUACAAAAAAAAAAAACAAGGCCUAAGCAACAAGAAAGAAAAAGAAAAAAAAAGAGAGAAAAAAAUAAUAAUCUCCCUCUCUAGAAGAUGUGGUGUGAUGUAAUAUCUAUUUUUUUUUCAUCACACAUUCAAAGGAAACAGUUUUUUUGCAUCCCCAUAAAAACGCGCUUGUUUUUCUAACGGCAACUCUAAUCUUAACCCAUAAACUCCAAUCUCUCUCACACAACAAGCACGUAUUACAAAUAUAUCCAUUAUUUUGUUUACGUCAAAUCAUAUUAAUAUAGUGCUCAUCUAUUUCAUAUUAUAUCUACCUGAUAUUACAUAUUUUUUUAAAAAAAUUAAUAAGAAAUGUAUUUUUGAAUUUUUAUGUUUGACUAUAUACUUUACAUAGUUAUACUUAAUUUUGAAAAUAUAUUUCUCUCUUACCAUAUAUUUUAGGACUACUUAAUUAUUAAUUUUCUUAAUAUGUCUCGCUAUAUAUUUUUAGAAUUCUCUAAUUAUUAGCUUUCCGAAUACCUCUUACCUUAUAUUUUAGGACUAUUUAAUUAUUAACUUUCUAAUACGUCUCACCAUAUAUUUUUUUUGGAAUUCUUUAAUUAUUAACUUUCAUAAUACCUCUUACCAUAUAUAUAUAUUUUUGACUCCGUAAUUUUUAAAAGAGAAAAAAGACAAAUAUAACUCAUACUAUCGUAAAUGGUAUGCAAAUACCCUUCGUUAUACUUUUGGGACAUUGGUGCCCCCUGCCGUCCAAAAACUAGAGCAUAUAUACAUUUUAUACUAACGGACAUACACGUGUCAUAAUCUUAUCCGUCGAUUAAAUAUCGGAUCGACGGGAUAAGAUUGCGGCACGUGUCCCUAUUUAGUCUUCUGUUAGAGUGUAGGGCAUAUAUGCUCUGAUUUUUAGAUGGCAUGGGCAUCAAUGUCCCAAUAGUAUGACGAAAGAUAUCUGCAUACCAUUUACGAUAGUUCGGGGAUAUAUUUAUCCUUUUUCCCUUUUUAAAAAGUAUUUUCUUCUUAUCGUAUAUUUUAAGAUUACUUAUAAUUAAUUCCCAUAAUGCCUCUUAUCUUAUUAUAUUUAUAUUUUAGAAAGGCGAAUGGACUACCGUACACUCUACUGUGCAUUUUAAUUGCAUUAGGGGAAUUUUCAGUAUUUUUUUGAAGAAUAAGGACAUGUGUGAAUGCGGUAGACAUGACAGCUAGUACCACCUCUAUAAAUAGGCAUCAAAAAGCCUUGUUACUCACUCUUGUUCUUUAUCCUCAUCGAGAUGAUUAAAGGAACUCAGAAUUUUUUAUUUCUCCAAAAGUCGGCUAUGGAAAAUCAUCAACUCCUCGGGUAUACAACUUCUGUUUUCCCCAAAAAAUUUGGAAUUUUGGGUCUAUUGACAUUUUAAUUUACUGAUAUUUAUUUUAUUAAAGGCGAAAGAUGAGAAAAAAGAAGAAGAAGUGGAGAUGUGGAUCGCAGUGGGCCCUAUAGUAGAAUAUGUUAAGUCAUACAAUGGUGAUUGUUGUGUGACUGGAUAUCAUGAGAAGCGACCCUUGAAGAUCCUAUUCGCUAUAGGGAGACUAUUCAUAAUUUUAUUGGUGAAUCCCUAGCAGAUAAGUUGGGUUGUGUUUCAUAUCCAAUCAAGCCUCGAACUGUUAAUAACUCAGCUUUUGGGAAACUAGUCACUUCUAGAGCAUGCAAAAACUUUCAAUUCUCAGUGCAAGGAGUUUUGUUUAAUGUGAAAUUUUGUAUCUACUUCCAUUGUCCUCAAAUUGUGAGAUUGUAUUAGGAAACCAAUGGAUGUGAACCCUUGAGAAUUUUACCGUUGAACAUAACGGUGUGGUGUUUUACUCCGGAGGUAAGAAACACUACGUGCAUUUCAAUGAAACAGUUGAUGAAGAUGAAGGCAGCAAGCUAUGAGAGUCCAUUGAGUUUUACUAUAUGUUUUUGCGGUUUUUAGGGUUGAUCUCUUCCUCAAACCUCCCAUUAUGUUUCUAUAAGAUAAUAUAAUAGUGUGUGGAUUUAAGCUAUAGUUUUUACUUUCACCAAUAUUCUAUUUAUGCAGAGGAUUUACUUAUAAUCAUCCUCAGUUGAUUGUCGUCUACUGCAAUUUAUGAAGUCUUGAGUUUUUCCUGAGUUCUUGCAUUAAUUGGUAUUGCCUCUAAUGAGACAUGGAAGCACUUGGAAGGAAAUUCAUAUUGAACUUGUGAAAGUCAUAUAUGAGUUCGAUUAAAUGGAGUUUAUGGACUAAGCCACCAUCUAGCCGGAAAAUUUGAAAGUAGAAAUAUUUAUUAGUGAAUUUGUUCGCGUUUUAUGCAUUAUAAGUAAUGGUAAAACAUCAAUAUAGUUUUAUUAAAUCUAAUACAGAUAAAAGAGAAAACAUUAAGUUAAUAGUUAGCAGGCUUCUAAUAAAGUUAUGCAAAAGUUAUAAGUUACUAUAUUGAUACAAAUUUCUUUUUAAUAAACUUACAAAAAUUGAAAAUUCAUAUAAAUAUAAAAUAAUGAGAAAUAAGAUAGAUAAAUAAAAAAAAUGCAAAAUUAUCUAUUCAACCUUCAUCAUUAAAAAACCGAAGAAAAAAACGAAAUCAAUGCAUAAUUUUAUGAGAUUUCAUCGAUAUUCAUUCCAACAAACAUAUUACCACUCAAUAAACUUCGUCUUUAUUCUUCAGCUCAAAUUAAAGCAUGAACACAAUAAGCAUCAAUAACACAACACAAUAGGAGAAAAAAAAAAUUAUACCUGAAGAGUUGAUGAGUUUGAUCUAUAGCCGGUAGACAAAUCUUUCUCUUCUUUCAUUGAAGUCAAUUCGUUAGGUUCAUCCAACUUUUCAUGUUUGACCUUCACUUUCUUCAUGUCAAUGACAACAUCUGAGUUUCUUUUAACCAUCUCAAUGAGGAAAAAGAAGAGUGAGUAAUAGGAUUUUUCGACGUCCAUUUAUAGCUGUCAUGUUCACCGCAUUCACGCUUGUCAUUGUUCUUUGAAGAUAACCUUUCAUCUUUUUCUUUCCAUUUAUGUCAAAAUAGUUCUCAUUGAACAAUACCAAUUUUUCCUUCUUUUUUCCCUUAAAAAUGGAUCUGUUAAUUUAAAUCAUUCUAAAUCAAUAUCUUUGACCCCUAUAGAAUUGUGGAUUAGAUGUAAGUUUUAUCCGAAAUAAGGUAAUUAUUAAUUCAAAUAUCAAAUUUUUUUAAAAAAUGAUAAUUAAUAAAUUAUGUUCCUAAAAAUAAAUUUGUUUAACAAGAACUAAAUAAAGAAAUAACAAAAGAGUAAUUUGAAAAAAAUUCAACAACAUCAUCUAACCGAUAAAUCAAAAUUAAUGUUUCAUUGCAUUUAAGUAGUGAGAGAAACAGUUAAUAUACAUAAAGUUGAGUGAAGAACACCACAUGAAAUCGUUAAUAUUUCAAGACUAAGGGUGUGUUUGGUAUGAAGGAAAACAUUUUCCGGAAAAUGUUUUCCAAUUUUCUCAUGUUUGGUUGGGCUAAAUGUUUUGGAAAAUGUUUUUCAAAUCAACUCAUUUUCCUCAAAUUUAAGGAAAAUGACUUCCCUUCAAAACUUAUGGAAAACAUUUUCCAAAACUCUCUUUCAACUUCAAACCUACCCCCAACCAUCCCCCCUCCAAAAUAAAUAAUUUUAAGUUUGAUUUCAAAAAAUAUUUCAAUUUCAUUUUUUUCACCCUUACCCUUGACCCCCCAACCCCCCUCCUACCCAGCCCCCCACACCCACCCACCCCUNNNNNNNNNNNNNNNNNNNNNNNNNNNNNNNNNNNNNNNNNNNNNNNNNNNNNNNNNNNNNNNNNNNNNNNNNNNNNNNNNNNNNNNNNNNNNNNNNNNNNNNNNNNNNNNNNNNNNNNNNNNNNNNNNNNNNNNNNNNNNNNNNNNNNNNNNNNNNNNNNNNNNNNNNNNNNNNNNNNNNNNNNNNNNNNNNNNNNNNNNNNNNNNNNNNNNNNNNNNNNNNNNNNNNNNNNNNNNNNNNNNNNNNNNNNNNNNNNNNNNNNNNNNNNNNNNNNNNNNNNNNNNNNNNNNNNNNNNNNNNNNNNNNNNNNNNNNNNNNNNNNNNNNNNNNNNNNNNNNNNNNNNNNNNNNNNNNNNNNNNNNNNNNNNNNNNNNNNNNNNNNNNNNNNNNNNNNNNNNNNNNNNNNNNNNNNNNNNNNNNNNNNNNNNNNNNNNNNNNNNNNNNNNNNNNNNNNNNNNNNNNNNNNNNNNNNNNNNNNNNNNNNNNNNNNNNNNNNNNNNNNNNNNNNNNNNNNNNNNNNNNNNNNNNNNNNNNNNNNNNNNNNNNNNNNNNNNNNNNNNNNNNNNNNNNNNNNNNNNNNNNNNNNNNNNNNNNNNNNNNNNNNNNNNNNNNNNNNNNNNNNNNNNNNNNNNNNNNNNNNNNNNNNNNNNNNNNNNNNNNNNNNNNNNNNNNNNNNNNNNNNNNNNNNNNNNNNNNNNNNNNNNNNNNNNNNNNNNNNNNNNNNNNNNNNNNNNNNNNNNNNNNNNNNNNNNNNNNNNNNNNNNNNNNNNNNNNNNNNNNNNNNNNNNNNNNNNNNNNNNNNNNNNNNNNNNNNNNNNNNNNNNNNNNNNNNNNNNNNNNNNNNNNNNNNNNNNNNNNNNNNNNNNNNNNNNNNNNNNNNNNNNNNNNNNNNNNNNNNNNNNNNNNNNNNNNNNNNNNNNNNNNNNNNNNNNNNNNNNNNNNNNNNNNNNNNNNNNNNNNNNNNNNNNNNNNNNNNNNNNNNNNNNNNNNNNNNNNNNNNNNNNNNNNNNNNNNNNNNNNNNNNNNNNNNNNNNNNNNNNNNNNNNNNNNNNNNNNNNNNNNNNNNNNNNNNNNNNNNNNNNNNNNNNNNNNNNNNNNNNNNNNNNNNNNNNNNNNNNNNNNNNNNNNNNNNNNNNNNNNNNNNNNNNNNNNNNNNNNNNNNNNNNNNNNNNNNNNNNNNNNNNNNNNNNNNNNNNNNNNNNNNNNNNNNNNNNNNNNNNNNNNNNNNNNNNNNNNNNNNNNNNNNNNNNNNNNNNNNNNNNNNNNNNNNNNNNNNNNNNNNNNNNNNNNNNNNNNNNNNNNNNNNNNNNNNNNNNNNNNNNNNNNNNNNNNNNNNNNNNNNNNNNNNNNNNNNNNNNNNNNNNNNNNNNNNNNNNNNNNNNNNNNNNNNNNNNNNNNNNNNNNNNNNNNNNNNNNNNNNNNNNNNNNNNNNNNNNNNNNNNNNNNNNNNNNNNNNNNNNNNNNNNNNNNNNNNNNNNNNNNNNNNNNNNNNNNNNNNNNNNNNNNNNNNNNNNNNNNNNNNNNNNNNNNNNNNNNNNNNNNNNNNNNNNNNNNNNNNNNNNNNNNNNNNNNNNNNNNNNNNNNNNNNNNNNNNNNNNNNNNNNNNNNNNNNNNNNNNNNNNNNNNNNNNNNNNNNNNNNNNNNNNNNNNNNNNNNNNNNNNNNNNNNNNNNNNNNNNNNNNNNNNNNNNNNNNNNNNNNNNNNNNNNNNNNNNNNNNNNNNNNNNNNNNNNNNNNNNNNNNNNNNNNNNNNNNNNNNNNNNNNNNNNNNNNNNNNNNNNNNNNNNNNNNNNNNNNNNNNNNNNNNNNNNNNNNNNNNNNNNNNNNNNNNNNNNNNNNNNNNNNNNNNNNNNNNNNNNNNNNNNNNNNNNNNNNNNNNNNNNNNNNNNNNNNNNNNNNNNNNNNNNNNNNNNNNNNNNNNNNNNNNNNNNNNNNNNNNNNNNNNNNNNNNNNNNNNNNNNNNNNNNNNNNNNNNNNNNNNNNNNNNNNNNNNNNNNNNNNNNNNNNNNNNNNNNNNNNNNNNNNNNNNNNNNNNNNNNNNNNNNNNNNNNNNNNNNNNNNNNNNNNNNNNNNNNNNNNNNNNNNNNNNNNNNNNNNNNNNNNNNNNNNNNNNNNNNNNNNNNNNNNNNNNNNNNNNNNNNNNNNNNNNNNNNNNNNNNNNNNNNNNNNNNNNNNNNNNNNNNNNNNNNNNNNNNNNNNNNNNNNNNNNNNNNNNNNNNNNNNNNNNNNNNNNNNNNNNNNNNNNNNNNNNNNNNNNNNNNAUAUUUAAGUUUGUUUUUAAAAAAUGUUUUCAAUUUCAAAAAUUAUUUUCUACUCUAGUAAAAAUAAAAGAUAUUUCUCAAAAAUAUUUUUCAUUCAUAAAUCAAACACUAAAAAUCUUUUCCAGAAAAUAUUUUCUAAUCACCAACCAAACAUGAGAAAAUAAGUCAAAAAUCAACUUGUUUUCCAAGAAAACAUUUUCUAGGAAAACAUUUUCCUUCAUACCAAACACACCCUAAGUAAUUAAAAAAAUAUUAAGACUCAAGAAUAUGAUAGUGUGAUCAUAAUAGUGGUAAUACUUCCUUGCAGUGAGAAAGUAGUAACCAAGAUCGUUCUGGUGUACACUCUUGAGAGAGAUUUAAGAGGAAAUUCUUGAAAAUUUUGUACAUAAUCAGUCAAUUACAACAAACACUACUAGGCGAAGUUGCAUAAAAAAUGUAACUUAGCAACUUGUUUUGAGAAAAAGAGUUUAUUAAUUAGCUAACACACUUGAUUUAGAAAUUUGGCUCUAUUGUCGUCAAAUUGUGAGAUGUAUCAGAAAACCAAUGAAUGUGGAUCCUCGAGAAUUUUAGCUUACGAUAUGGGGUUUAACUUCGGAAUUGGAAAUGAGAAACACUUUGUGAGUUUCAACAAAUUAAAUCAUAUGAUGAAGAUGAACGCAACGAGCGUUGAGACUCCAUUGAGUUUUACUAUUAAAGCUUCUUUGGUGGAAGACUACUCUUGUCACCAACUUAACACUAACGAGACAUGAAAGCAUCAGAAGGCAAUUCAAAGUGCACUUGUCAAGUCAUACACUCUACUAGUUUUGUUCUGAGUAGAUUUUAAAAUUUUGUCUUCUAAUUUUCUUCAAGUCCAUAAAAAAAAUUGGCUCCUCUUUAUUACUACAUCUUUACUCCAUUUCAUCAAAUACAUAUAUUUUUAGAUGUGUGACACUUGUCAUAUUUAAAAUUUAUAAAUGUAGAUUAAAUUAAUUUAACAAAUCUUUAAUUAAUCAUAGUUAAAGAAUGAGUUAGGGAAAAGACUCACCAAUUUUUUUUUAUCUUCCACAAAUUUUGCCUCCAUAUUAAUAUCAUUAUUUUCAUAAUAUAUGUUUUGCAUCCCUCAUAAAUAUCUUUGUCCUAAUCUAAAUUCAAGAAGACUCCCCGUUUUUAUCUUUUACUAUUAGCUAACCAAAAAUAAAAUGUAAUGAUUAAAAAUGAGUAUAUAUUUGACUACUAUUUUAACUACAUUUGCAGGGGCAUUUCGGUAAUGUUUGAAGAGUAAGGAAAGGUGUGAAUGUGGUGGAACAAUUCAUUAAUGGUUACCUCAAGAGCAUGAGAAGCAACCUUUGAAUGUUUUAUUCGCUAUAGGGGGGACUACUCACAAUUUCAUUGAUGAAUCCCUGGCAGAUAAGCUAGGUUGUGAGUCUUACCUAAUCAGGCCCUGAGUUAUUAUCUCGGGUUUUGAAAGAAUGGUUACCUCAGCAUGCAAAAAAUUUCAAUUCUCGGUGCAAGGCAUGUUAUUUACAGUGAAGUUGCGUUAUAUCUUGUCCCAUUAUCCUCAGAUUGUGAGAUUGUAUUAGGAAAUCAGUGGAUAUGAACUCUUGAGAAUUUUAUCUUUUAACAUAAUUUUUGCAGUUUUAUACUUCAGAGGUAAGAAACACUGUGAAUUUCAAUGAAUCAGUUGAUGAUGAAGAUGAAGACGACAAGCAUCGAGAGUCUGUUGAGUUUUACUGAAUAUUUUUCCUAAAGGGGUUUUUAGGGUUGAUUUCUUUGUAAAAUCUCCUGUUAUGUUUCAAUAGGAAAAUAAUAGUGUGUGGGAAUAAGCUAUUAAGCCCACUAGUUUAUGUUUUUUGCAAUUUUCUGUUCAUGUUACUUGUAGUCAUCCUUAGUUAAUUAUUGUCCAUUGCAAUUUUUGAAGUCUAUUGAGUUUUUCCUAGUUCUUGUAUUAAUUGUUAUUGCCUUUUUUUUUUAGGGUAUGGUCGAACGAAAAAAUAAAAUAAUUCUUUUAUAUCAUUCAUUGCUUAAGUCAGCAAUUUGUUUUUCAUAUCCUUAAAUUCAUUACUCCAUUGUAUAAAAAAAUUAUAUAUAUAUAAUCCUCAAUAAUAAUAUGUUUUACAAUAUAUUUUUAUUUUAUCAUAUAUUUUGGGAGUCUUAAUUAUUAAUUUUCCUAUUAUAUCGUAUCAUAUAUUUUAAGAUUCCUUAUAUUUUUAAAUAUAUUGUCUUCUUAUCAUAUAUUUUUGGAUUCCUUAUUAUUAAUUAUCUUAAUGCCUCUUUAUCAUCUAGUAUAUAAAUCCUUAGUUUUUAUUAAUAUAUUUGACUACUAUUCUGAUUGCAUCUGCAGAGGCAUUUUCAAUAUUUUUUGAAAAAAUAAGAAAAUGUUUUAAUGAAGUGGAACAUUGUAACUAGUACUACCUCUAUAAAUAGGCAUCGAAAAGCCCUCUUACCCACUCUUGUUUUUCCUUAUCGAGAUGGUUAAAGGAAAUUCAGUAAGCUCUGUUUGGAGCCCUACUAGCUUUUUAUCACUAUUAAUUUCGCUUUGUCGGCCCUUUCAUCAUGUCUUGGAUGUUGUUGUGACCUCGUCGGUCCAGUAUCUUGUUGUUUCAGCAAGUUAUUGUAGCGACCUUAUCGAACCUCGUUUUAUCAUUUUCUUUAUGUUUCAGUUGGUUGACUCGAUCAAGUGAGGCACCGGGUACCUGUCGUGCCUCCCCUAGUUUGGGGCGUGAUAAAAUACUUUGAUGAUGAUGAAGAUGGAGGCAGCACUAGUUUAUGUUUUCUCCUAUUUUCUGUCUAUGUGGAGGAUCUACUUGUAGUCAUCCUAAGUUGAUUGUUGUCCAUUAAAAUUUAUGAAGUCUAUUUAGUUUUUCCUGAGUUCUUGCAUUAAUUAUUAUUCCCUCUUUUUUUGUUUCUUUUUAUGGGUAUAGUGGAACGAACAAACUAAAUAAAUAUUUUAUAUCAUUCAUUGCUUAAGUCUGCUGAGAGAAAGAUUUUUCACAUCCUUAAAUUAAUUAUUCCAAAGUAUUAAAAAAAAUAUAAUUAUAUUUUUUAUUUGUUAAUGCCUCUCUUUAAACAUGUCUAACCAUAGUCGUAUUGGUCUGCAAAAUAUAAGUUUUUAUAACCAAUAUACACUUUAUAUAGUGAUUUAUUUAUUGAGGUCAAAAAGUAAUUUAACAUCAUCUUAAUCUGCGAAAUAGACUAUCAAAUAGAUUAGGAGAAAUUGAUUAAAUUUAUCACAAAGAAAGUUGAACCCAAAUAAACUCUAAACAAUUUCAAAUCAUAAUUAUCUUUGAUUUAUGUACACAUUCAAUCGAGAAGUCAAAAUUGAGAACCAACAACAAGAAUAUCAUCUAAUAUGCACCUUAUAAAAUAAAAAUUAUUGUACAGAAAAAUAGCUCUAAAAAUAAAAUGUACAGUAAUUAUUUUCUUAAUAUGUUUAUAUGACAUCUAAAAAUAUUAAUUCAAAUACUUUAAUUUUUAAAAUAUUUAUACUAUUAAUUGGAAACACAUGUGCAACGCACGUGCUCGAUAACAUAUAUAUAUAUAUAUAUAAAUCUUCAAUAAUGAUAGAUUUUACGAUAUAUUUUUAUUUUAUAUAUAUUUUAGGACUCUUAGUUAUUAACUUUCCUAAUAUGUCAUACCAUAUAUUUUAAGACUCCUUAAAUUUAUAUAAAAAUAUAUUUUCUUUUAUCAUUUAUUUUAAGAUUCCUUACUAUUAAUCCUCUUAAUGCCUCAUUAUCAUAAAUUACAGAAAUCCUUAAUUUUGAAAAAUAUAUUUGACUAGUAUUCUGAUUGCAUUUGCAGGGGUAAUUUUAGUAUUUCUUAAAGUAUAAAGAUAUGUAUGAAUACGGUGGACGAGAUUUGACUACUAUUAUGAUUGCAUUUGCAGGGGCAUUUCGAUAAUUUUUAAAGAAUAAAGACAUGUGUGAAUGUGGGGGAACAUUGUAACUAGUACUACCUCUAUAAAUAGGCAUCGAAAAGGCCUACUAGUCACUCUUCUUCUUCCUUAUCGAGAUGGUUAAAGGAAACUCAGUGAAAAUAACAAACUAAAUUAGUAUUCUAUAAUAUCAUUCAUUGCUUAAGUUCGCUGAGAAAAUGAUUUUUCAUAUCCUCAAAUUCAUUACUCUAAAGUAUGAAAAAAUAUGUAUAUAUGUUAGUUUCUCAUCACGUGCGUUGCACGUGUAUACCAAAUAAUAUAGAACAUAAAUGUAAAUUAAUAUCAAUAUUAAUUUUUAAGUAAAUUAUUGUAUAUCAAAAGAAUAAAAUACAAUUUUUCAUAACCAAUAUACACUGUUAUAUAAUAAUUUAUUUAUUGAGGUCGAAAUAAUUCAAUAUCAUCUUAAUCUGUGAAAUUAGAUUAUCAAAUAGAUUAGGAAAUAAUUAAUCAAAUUAAUCAAAAAGAAAGUUGAACCCAAUUAAUCCCCAAUAAAUUCCAAAUCAUAAUUAUCUUUGAUUUAUGUACACAUUCAACUGAAAAGUCAAAUACGAGAACCAACAACAAGAACAUCAUCUAUUAUGCACCUUAUAAAAUAAAAAUUAAUGUACAAAAAAAUCGCUCUAAAUAUAAAAUGUUGUUAUUUUCUUAACAUGUUUAUAUGACAUCUAAAAAAUUUAAUUCAAAUAUUUUAACUUUUGAAAUAUUUAUACUAUUAAGUGGUAAUACACGUAUUCGAGAACUAAUAUAUAUAUAUAUAUAUAUAUAUAUAUAUUUAUGCAAUCUUCAAUAAUAAUAUUUACAAUAUAUUUUUAUUUUAUCAAAUAUUUUAAGUCUCUUAGUUAUUAACUUUUCUAAUACAUCAUACCAUAUAUUUUACGAUUCCUUAAAUUUUAAAAUAUUUUUUUUAUCAUAUAUAUUAGGACUCCUUCUUAUUAAUUCUCUUAAUGUCUCAUUAUCAUAUAUUAUAGAUAUCCUUAGUUUUGAAAAAUAUAUUUAACGAGUACUCUGAUUUCAUUUGCAACGACAUUUUCAGUAAUUUUUUAAAAAUAAGGACAUGUGUGAAUGCAAUGGAACAUUACAAAUUAGUACUACCUCUAUAAAUAGGCAUCAAAAAGCCCUAUUACUCACUAUUCUUCUUCCUCAUCGAGAUAGUUAAAGAAAACUUAGUGAAAAGAACAAACUAAAUAAAUAUUCUAUAAUAUCAUUCAUCGCUCAAGUCCAUUGAGAAAAAUAUUUUUCUUAUCCUUAAAUUCAUUACUCUAAAGUAUAAUAUAUUUUUUAUUGUGUUGCACGUAUAUACAAAGUAAUAUAGUACAUAAAUGUAAAGUAAUAUCAAGAUUAAUUUUAAGCAAAUUAUUGUGUACCAAAAGAAUAAAAUAUAAGUUUUCAUAACCAAUAUACACUGUUAUAUAAUGAUUUAUUUAUUGAGGUCGAAAUAAUUUAAUAUCAUCUUAAUCUGCGAAAUUAGACUAUCAAAUAGAUUAGGAAAAAUGGAUUAAAUUAAUAAAAAAAAAGUUGAACCCAAUUAAACUCUAAUCAACUCCAAAUCAUAAUUAUCUUUGAUUUAUGUACACAUUAAACCGAAAAGUCAACUAUGGAACCAACAACAAAAACAUCACCUAUUAUGCACCUUAUAAAAUAAAAAUUGAUGUACAAAAAAAUCGCUCUAAAAAUAUAAAUUUUAAUAAGAAAAAUCUCAUGUUCCACAAAUUUUGGCUCCUUAUUGAUACCAUUAUUUUCAUAAUAUAUAUUUACUUCCCUUAUUAUACCAUUGACCUAAUCUAAAUUCAAGAAUACUCUCCGUUUUAUUUUUUAUAUUAGAAGAGAUAAACUUUAUAAAUAUUGUAAAACAUUUUAUAAAAUAAUGUGAGAUUGUGGAAGAGUAAAUGUGUUUAUAUCGUGCAUGGGCGUGGGACGUGGGAAAGAAAAUAGAGUGGUGGUACUUAAUUUAGCAAAUUAUUUGUUUUGUAUUUCUCAACUUCCUUUUUUUUUUCCCUCCUUUUUUGUGUUUCUCUAUUUCAAAAAAAAAUAAAAUACUCCAUAUGAAUAUGAUUAAUUAAUGACUCUAAAUAUUAGAAUGUGUGCUCCUCGAAUUAAGUGGAUCAAACUAUCCAUUUUUUGUAGUUUUUUCCUAAAAAGCUCUUGAUUAACCAAACACUUUACUUGUAGGUGUUUCUAAUUUUUCAGUGAGUAACUCAUUUUUUACUCUUUCUGAAUAUAUUAAAUAAAUAAAAAUUCAAUUAAAAAGCUCGUUUCAACCUGAUCAUAUGAAGAAAGUAAAUAAUUAGAGUAUAAUUGUAAUCUAGUAUCUGAAAAAUUACACAGUUGGUAUAAUUAAGUAAUUAACUAUGCAUCGAAAGACAGAGGCAGAGCUAGUUGGAGGUUUAUGGUCGGACGAAUCCAAUAAUUUUUCCGUAGAUCAUAUAUUUGUAUAGAAAAUUAAUCAAAAUAUAUAUGUAUAUUAAUUUGUAAACCCCUAAUAAAAUUGAAUGAUGAUAAAGUAAUGUCAUUUCGUGAUGGAAUAUCAAAUCUCACUUGGUCCUUUUCAUAGUCGAUUGAGUUUCGUGCAGCGAAUUGAAAAAAAAGGUGAGGGACAUUUCAUCGCACAAGAUUCAUGUCACCUAGAAUUAUUUCUGUUCACUUUUACUUGUAAUGUUACAUUUUUCAAAAAAAUGAUUUAACUAUUUUUUCAAGUUAAAAUAGAUUAUAUUAAUUCAAUAUUUUAAACUAAAAAUUUAGAUUUUUAAAAUUAUACGGAAAGUACUAUAAAUUGCAAUUUUACAUCAUAAAAUAUUAGUCAAUAUUCUUAUUGUUUGACUCUGAAAAGAAAAUCAUGACCACUAAAAAGAGAAGGAAAUAUGAUUUACAACUCAAAUAUGAUUUGAGAAUUGUUAUACAUAAACAAGUUUAUUUAAUGCACACUUAAAAGAAGGGAAAAUUGUAUGAAAUAGCAAUUUAUUAAUUCAAAUUAAAUGUUAUAGCCAUAGUUUAUUUUAAUUGUAAUUCACAGCAAAACAUCAGAAAAGUGUAUAUAUAAAUACAAAUACAUAUAUUUUUUCGUCAUAUAUACUUAUAAUUAUACAAAUACAAAUCUUAUUAUACAAAUUACAAUGUAUAAAUGAAUUUAUAUAAAACUGAACAAUUUGUAUAAAACUGGAUGUUUUUAACGAAUUAUACAAAUAAAAAAUUCCAUAACAAACAAAAAAUUUAUUAUGGAGCGUAAUAAUGUAAACUAUAGCUAUAACAUACAAAUAUGAUUUUUAUGUUUGCUAUAUGUGAAAAUUGCUCUUAAAAUAAUGACGGUGGCGAGUAAUUUCCAAAAAGAAAAGAAGUUUGAAUAAACAUAUUUGUACGUUAUAUACAUCUGAGGAACAUUUUAUAAGCAUUUUCUCCAAGUAGAUACUCUCUUCGUUUUAAAAAAAUACCUACGCUAAAACUUUAAUACUAAAUUAAUAGAGACGGACUUAAGAAAUAUUAUUAUUUAUACAGGGAUCUUCUGAAAAAUAUAUUAUUUUAUCGAAAUUGGUGAUUUUUUACAUUGACCCAAGUGGGACAAAAUGAAAAUAUUAUCUUGAAAAAAUUAUUAAUUCACUAAGUAUUAAUUUAAUGAGACUUUACUCUACUUUUUUUUCAGUCCGUUUUAAAAAAAAUGAUUUUUCUUUUCUAAUAAAACUUUAAUUUCAACUUUCCAUAUGAUAUGUUUAAAGUCAUAGAUCACAUGAU